This 58838-nucleotide long non-coding RNA is filed under the name Capsicum annuum. RNAcentral's name for it is "long non-coding RNA (CANN_LNC019077)". Lineage: Eukaryota; Viridiplantae; Streptophyta; Magnoliopsida; Solanales; Solanaceae. The record is from RNAcentral.
GACAUGCCCCUUUUCUAAAUAAAUUUUAUGGUCCAACCUAUAACCCCAGAUGGAAGGGUUCCAGUACCGUGCCACGGGUAAAGACAACUGAAGAGAUACCCUCAUUUGGAAUGUACUCUAAUGAGAAUGGUGAAACCCUCAACUGACAGGUUAAAACACCUCACCAACCCUCGACUGGCAGGUUUGAUGUCUCAACCUAGUUGGCUAUGUAUUUAUUGAAUGCAAGGAUUGCUUCUAAGAGUCACACCAUCUACUAGCAGGUGUGUCCCCAUCCUUGGGUUCACUCAAUGUUGAAUCCUACUCCCAACUGAAUAGACACUGAACUGAUUUCCUAGUACAACUAGGCUUGAUGAACUGUUACUAAACUGGACUGGAUUAGUACUGAAUUUACUAUGUUUUCUUGGAUUCUAGAACUAACUAAAAGUACCACUGAUCAUGAUAUGACUGAGACUAUUCUGUAACUAACAUUGGCUCUAGGUAUACAGCAAAAUUGUCGGGUAUUAACUACCCCCAGGACUCAACAGCAUAAAGGGUAAAGCGUAACAUAAAUCUUGAAGGCACGACAAUGGCCACAUGUUCACAAUUCACUCUCUAAGGCAUCUCAUCAAACACUUGUGAAUUUUGAACUUGUACAUGUAUAGGGAUGUAUGCUAUCAUGUCCUAUGUACACUAACAAUUCACAUAGGCAUUUCAACAAACACCUUCAAGGCGUAGCUUUAACAUGAGAGCCCUUUUGACAUGUAUUUCUUUCACGAGUUCAUAAUUCAGAUCAACAAUGGAUCAAAUUUCACAAUUACUUCACUUACGCAUUUUUAGCAAACACAUGGGAGACAUCAUAUUAUACUUGGGCAUGAAUAAUAAUUUAAUACAUCAUGGCUACAUUAACCACUUCAAUUUCAAAGAUUUCAACCCAGAUGCUAACAUAAAUUCAUGAAAUUCAUUAAAGAAAUCAUCUUGGAAAUCACACAACAAGAUUAACAUGAAUACAAACAACCCACAACAUAGAAAUUAUUAUUUAAGAUUUUAAAAAGGUUCAAGGGUGAAAGGUCCCUUAGAUGAAACUUCACAUACCUUUGUGCUUAUGUUGGAGAAGAUUGAUGGCAGAAUUCUUAAGAUUUGAAUCUUGAAUUAAAAACCCUAAUGCUUGUUCUAGAAAGAGUUUGAGAGAAAGAUUGAGAUUUUUUCCUAAAGGCUGAUUAAUUUCUUGUUAAGGCUGAAUAAGGUAGGGAAAAUAACCCAUUUACCCCCCACAACCCAUAUAAAAUUAAUGCUGAAUAGGGCUACCCUCACGUUACGACCCCUAUUUGGGUUAAGUAGCCAUCUGAUGCAACCCUACUCAGGUCAAGUAGCUAUCGUAGCGCGACCUUAACUAUGGUUUAUUGGCCCUGGCGCUGCUGGGCUAUCACGACCAUUCAUUAUUUUGGGCAUCCAAACUUGCCAUUACGCUAGUCCAAAAAAUUUAAAACUUGCCUGAGAUGACCUACAAGUGACCCUGAUCAUGAAUCAAUUCACAAAUUGACUAAUUAAGGCCGAGAAGGUCAAAAAUAAAAUACUCAAAAUUUAGAAGGCUAAAAUGAUUCUAAGGCUUCAUACUUCGCUAAAAAUAUUCUAAGUUUGGCACCCUAUAGUAGGCUUUAAAGGACUGAGUCAAGCUUAGAAUUUUGCAGGGUCUUACACCACUCUAAUUCUUUUGCCUUCCCAAUACCCCUUCUACCACCCCUUCACUUCAAUAGUCACCUCUCUCUUUACCUUCUCCAUAUUUAUCCUCUUCUUUUCUCCAUUCAACUCCUCCUCGUCCUCUCUAUCUCUUUUAUUAUUAAUCUAAACUCUUCUCUACCAAAUGACCCAAACUCAAUCCAUGGAAAUCUCUCAAAAACCUUCGCUAGUAUGGGAUAUAUUUUAAUUAAUGAGGAGUAGUGUAGAAAGAAAUCCACUAGAGAAAAAUCUGAGUUCCCUAAGGUAAGUAAACCUAUUUGUAACCCCAUGUUUUAGGUAUUAAAGGAGUUGGAAGAACUCAAGGACCGCAUGAGUAUUGUCGAGGAAGAGGUGGUGUUGCUUCAGGUGUAAACUUCCAAAUUGCUGCAGCUUGGGAAGAGCGCUAAUUCUGACAUAAGCAAAGUAAGUUUGACCUUUGAUUAUUUCAAACCUAAAGGCAUAAAUUUUUUUUCCAAAGUAUUCUCUCGCAUGGACUCUUUCAAAACCGAAGAAAGCUCUUCCAACAAUGACCUUGCUAUUGCUUUUCAGAACUUCUAUUUCUUAUUUUUUAAGAAUAUUGAAAAAUCAUAUGACGAUUCUGUCACAACAUGUAUGAUACCCUCACCUACUUCUUGGCCAAACUAUAACUCUGAUGACUUCUAUUAGAAAGGGGGUCCUAUACUUUUUCAAAUUAUGGGUUGUAAAAUGAUUUCACACAAACUAUGGGGUUUUUAACUUCACCUUGAUGUAUAUCUGUGUGGUUUUCUUGGUUUGUGUUUUUGUUCCCUUCCUGUGUGUUGUUUCUUUUUUAUUAUGUCAAAGGGGGAAAACAAGAACAUCGGAGAUAACUAUCAAGUCAGGGGGAGAUAGUCCAGUCAACGAAAGUCAAUUGGCAUUUCAAAAUAUGAGAGUUGGAAAAAUAGAGAAUCCAGUCGAUUAUAGAAACAGAAAAGCUAACAGUUGUUUAAGUAGUAUUUGUCAUUAUCAAAAAGGGGGAGAUUGUUAGCUUUCUAUGGUUUCAUUUUAAUAAUGAUAAACUAAUAAGUAGAUAUUUCUAUGAUAUUGGAAACUUCUAAUGAUGGAAAGAUGUCUAACACAAAGAUUUAAAGGAUUAGAAAGUUGAUAAAGGUAAGAAAGACGGCUCCAAGAAUGGAAGAAUAUCCAAUCACGAUCUACAACAUCCAAGCAAAUCAAUCAAAACAAGAACAAAAGGAAGGAAAAUCAUAAAUCCCGAAAUCAUGAAAAAUCCAUGAUCUACAACAUCCAAAAGAAUCAAUAAGAAUAAAAACAAAAAAAAAGAAAUUCACAAAUUCGAAAAUCAUGACAAAAGCAUAAGAAAGAAGAGACCACGGAUGUAUCUAAUAUGGACGCAAGUAAGAAUUUGUGUAUGGAUUUAUCUGAUAUGGACAUACCAUAUAGUUACUUUCCUUAAAAUAAAGCAUCUUGGGUUUGGACCCUUAGAAAAUUUUGAGGAAUCUCUUUCUUCUGACCCAUUAUGACUCAUGGUACGUGACAACGCCCAAGAGCACAUGCAAGUAUGCGUGGUCUACCAAUUAGUAAAGUGUCCUUCAAGAAAGCCGAGUUAUUGAUCCCAUAGGGACUUGUGUUAAACAACUAUCUAAUUCUAGUUUAAAAACUUGAGAAGAGUAACAAUAAAGUCUUAGAAUUAUAAACUAAAAGUAAACUAAACUAAUCCAGUAAAGUAAUGACUUAGGACAAUCGUGGAUAGAAGCCCAAGGUUAAUCAUUACAACCAAUCAUACUACGUUAUUGAACUUUAUUCGUUGCAUUACUUAUCGUGGUUGUGUAUUCAUAGGGUUAAUUGCAUGAUUAUUGUUUUCCAACCUCUAAUCCUUUACCUAAGUUGCACCUUACACCUAUAUUUUUUAGCAGGGAUAUAAUAAUCCAGUUAAGUUAUGUAAGCUAUCAUCCUAUGUUUGAAUCAAGUAAGGCAUCUAAGCACAUCCCUAUGCUAGAUGCUAAUUCAAGUCUCUUACUUUAUAAAGAAAUAAGAACCAUACUUAGCUUAUUCCCUUGUUUUAUCUCCCUAUUCCCUCUCUCGAGAUAACAAGGUUGAAAAUUUAUGUAUUCUAAGGGUAGCUAAUCCUUAAAAUAGUUAAAACAAGAAUAAACAAGGAACCAAUAAUAAUAAUCAAGUCAACAAACUUAAUUUAAAAUGAAAGUAGUCACGAUCUUGGCAUUAAUCGCGGAAAGGGAGAUGUAGCUUUUAAUGGAAAUAUUCAUUAUCCAAUCCCUUGGAUUGAUGAUACAAACCAUGAAAAAAAAAACUAAAUUAAAGAGAUAUAAACCCUAAAAAAAGUGUUGAGAAGCCCCAAAACUAGUCUAAUACGUCCAAAAGUAUGUAAAAACUUGAUAUAAAAUGUAUUUAUAGCAAUCAGGUAAGCCAAGUCCGUAUUGGAAUUGAAUUAGAAUGAAACACCUAGGGGUUGAGUGGACCAUGCAUCACACCAUCUAUUCCUAUGGAAUGGAGAAUACGACACACCCUCUAUUCCAUAGAAAUAGAGCAUGUGACGCACGUUUAUCGGACGCCUUCACUGGAAUUUACAUACAAAAUUUUGGUUAAGUGUUGGUCCUUCCUCCUUCCAUCACUUAUCUUGUGGUGUCUUUCCAAUGAUUUUCCAGCCUCUAUAUCAUCCAUAUAUCAUCAUAUUAAGAUAAAAAAGGAUCUUUCAAGAAAACACCACAUGAAUUAGAGUUACAAAUACACAAUAUCCAUCAUGAUAAACCAAAAACAAGAGCUUAGACUAGGUUGAUUUCCAUGAUCUUUCACUUGAAGUUUCAACUUUUUCCUUGACUCACUUGAACUUUAAACACUACUAGAAAAUUGUUGCACAUAUAAAAACGCAUAUAAACCAUAAGGAACAAUUAAAACACAAUAGAAUCAAUCAAGAUAGACUAGACAAGCAACUAUCUCAACCUAGAAAGACUAGUUUUCUCUAUUGAACUCAAAUUGACUCUUUGAAGUACCAACUUACUUGGAAUUUACUUUGAACCUUAUAAACACAUGUUUUAACACUUUGAUACAUAUUUAUUUCAUUAUCAACCCCUAUAGCAUAGAGUCAUCCUCAAAACAAGGCUAAAAUAACUAGAAUAGUGACAAUAGAAUGCAUAAAUAUACCCUAACAUCACCACCCCACUCUUAAAGCCUUGUUCGUCUUUGAACAACUCUUAAUUGUAAUUAUUAUCAACUCAGGAGACUCUACAUUUCUACUAAAUGCAAGACACUCAAGGUAGUAAUACAAUGACUACACAGAAUGCAAGUUACUACACUAAGCAUGUUAUUUACACAAUUGAUAGCUCAUGAACACUACUCCAAAACAUCCUAGCCUCAAGAAUUGACUCACCUAGUUGGCAAACUCAUGUAUAUUUCUCAAUAAAGGACAUCAUAUAAAUCAACCACAUUCAUCAAACAUGUGUCUUCAUAAUAAGAGAGUUACCCAUAAUCACUAACAAUAUUGUAAUUUAUCACAUAAUGGGUACAAGAAUUAAAUUACACUCACUCUUACAAAGAAUUAACAAGUUACACAUACUGAAUCAUAAGCUUUCCCUUAGGCUAGUGCUCUACUAAUAUCAGAAUGUAAAGUAUAGGAUUAAUUAAGACUUUUUCGGGUUGCAAUAUAGUCUAAGGGACAGGUAGGAACUAUUUGAAAAUAGUAAAUAAAAUCUCUAAGAACUUUAAUGCACUACAUCAAACAUUUAACAUCAAUCUUCAACAACCAACUUACACUAUUUUUACUACCCCAUUCUUUUGUUUUGCCCCAUUUUCUUUAAGCAUUUUCACAAACACUUGGUGGGCAUAUUCUCUAUUCCUUUAAGAUUUAAUAUUUCUCAAUUUGUACAAUCAUGAAAAUAUUCCUAACAUCAUUUAUAUCACUCCCAACCACCACACAUCAAAUAUAAACACCAAUAACUCUUAUCUUGGGGCAUCAAUUUCACCUUUUUCUUUUUCAAUUUCUCAAACUCCUUACUAAUUUAAUUUUUUUUCAAUUAAAGAACCUAGGAGCUUUUUGGAUCAAAUUAAGUUCCAUCAAAGAAAAGGAAUAAGGAUUUAUAUGAUGUUGCCAAAGAAAAGGCUAAAGGCUCAAUAGGGGUUAACUAGAAUAAUGCACAAUAGGUAUGACAAAUAGAAGGAAUAAAACAAGGGUAUCAAAGAAACGCCCAAAUCAUCUCCUAAACCCACACUCUUUAUUUUACUUUACACACACACCGGGCAAGUUCUAGACUUCACAUGCAACAAGGAAUAUACCAAAUCUCACACUCAUAUGGAACAUGUUCAACUCAUAUAGGAUUAUGAUAGAAUACUCAUCAAACAAUAACAUGAAUUCAAAAUUAAGCCAACAAGUACAAGAGUCACAUAUAUAAGACUAGGAGUCUAAAAAAUAGCAAUUAAUUUAAUCAGCAUGCUUUUACAAACAAAUCCACUAGCUUCAUGUAAUAAAAAAUAGCACCAACAAGAAUAUCUUAUAAAAAAAUUAAAUUAUGCCAAAAAUUAGGAAUUUUCCCACCCCACACUUAAAAAUCUACUUUGUCCCCAAAGUGAACUUGUAAAGUAAGAGAUAGAAAUACUCCCUAAGGCCUUUAAUCCUAGAUAAUAUUAUAUUUUUAAAUUAAUGAGAUCCAUGGGAGCCCCACACUUAGUUUUUCCCAUGCUUCUUAGCUCAGGUUUUCAGUACUUAGACUUCCCAUAAACUUGUGACUCAACAAAAACAAAAAACUAUGUUAAAUAAAAAAAAUUGAAAAUAAAACAUACCUAAUUAACUUGGGUUGAUGCCCAAGAAACACCUAAUUUAGUGUCGUGGAAUGACCCAAUCAACUUUUUUCUCCACCUUAAGGAUAUUAAUUUCACCCCCAACUUUAUAUCCAACUUUUUCCCUUGCUCAUAUGGUGGUGGUACAAAGAUUAAUGAACUGAGUAAUGGAUGAUGAAUGGUAAACCACUCGGCGUUAAGGUAAGGUGUGUUCUUAAGUUGCUUAUCUGGUCUAAAAUUAAGAAUAUAGGAUUCUUGUUCCUCAUCUGCACACUCUUCCAAUCUUAUAGAUGGUUCCACAACAAGAUAUCACCUAAAAAUAAUGUAGAAAAGUGCUUUGAGUGAAUCCCAACCAAUCCCACAUCAAAAUUUACACUAUAUUCAACAUUAUCACUCAUAUUCACCUUCUAAAUUUCAGUCUCAAAAGAAAGAUGACAAUCGAGUGGCUGUGAUUCUUGUGUUUGUUCCAUAAAUUGGCUAAUAUCCUCCUCAUAUUUUUCUUUUCUUAGCAUCUAUAGACAUGGUAGAGGUGGCAUCUCCUCAGCCAUUUUAACAACUUUAGUUUUCAAGUACUCAUACUACCUCAAAUUAUCAUUAAUUUUAUCUACAAUCGGUUGGGGAGUCAACUCUGCAUCUACCUCCUACUGAUUAUACAAUUUCUUUAAAGCCUCCCGAUGGUUCUUUACAUUUGCUAACAACUAUACUUGAGAUGCUAAAAGUUUUUUAAUCAUCUUUUCAAAAUUGCUAGUUUGAGUUGUCACCUGCAUGUUUGGUUAUUUCUCCUAAAACUACUGCUGGUUAUUCCAUGAUUGAGUUUGUGACUGAUUCUAACCCGUUUGAUUAUAGUUGUUUAUAUAAUUUUGCCUUUCACAUAGGCCACAAAUAAUUCUGAAUCGAGAUUGAUAGCACACAUAGCUGCAAUAUGACAACUUUGACCAAAAACCAAACACCAAGUUAUAGUCUGCUCCACAGAUAGAACAGUAUUUGUAUCAUAUUAUGAAGGUCCUAUCCAUGCACUUCUAUCAAAAUCUGGAUAAUAAGCCUCAUGAUGUGGUCCCCUAUAAAAAUGACAAGAAUUGUUAUCACUCGAAAAGCAUCUUACCAACCUGACAUAUCAAGAAGUGUGAUAAAAAGAGAAAUAAAAGAAAAUAAAAAAAACUAAAUAAAAACUAUUUACAACUCAAUAUAUAAAAACAACAAAAAGAUAUUUGUGAAUUCAAGUCCAUGGCAACGGCGCCAAAAACUUAACAAUGCACACGCAAGUGUAUGUUGUCUACCAAGUAGUAAAGUUGCCUUUAAGAAAGCCGAUUUAUCAAUUCCAGAGGGACUUGUGUUAAAAAACUAUCUAAUUCUAGUUUAACAACUUAAGAAGAGUAACAAAUAAAGUUUACUAAACUAAUGUAGUAAAGUAAUGACUUAGGAUAAUUGUUGGAUAGAAGCCUAGGGUUAAGGCUUAUGACCAAUCAUACUACAUUAGUGAACUUCAUUUGUUAGAUUGCAUAUCGUGGUUAUGGAUUCAUAGUGUUAAUCGCAUGAUUAUGGUUUCCCAACCUCUAAUUCUUUACUUAAGUUGGACCUUACACCUACAACAUUGUGCAGGGAUGUAAUAAUCUAAUGAAGUUUUGUAAGUUGUCAUCCUACAUAUGAAUCAAGUAAGGCAUCUAUGUACAUACUAGUCCUAGUUUCUAAUUCAAGUCUCUUAUUUUAUAAAGAAACAAGAACCAUACUUUGCUAAUUCCCUUGUUCUAUCUCCCUAUUCUCUCUCUCGAGAUAACAAGGUUGAAAAUUAAUGUAUUCUAGGGGUAGUUAAUCCUUAAAAUAUUUAAAACAAGAUUAAAAAAGAAACCAAUAAUUAUAAUCAAGUUAACAAACUAAAUUCAAAAUGAAAUUAGGCAUAAUAUUAGCCUUAACCCAGGAAAAGGAGUUUUAGCCUUUAGUGGAAAUAUUCAUCAUCUAAUCCCUUGGAUUGAUGAUAAAAACCUUGAAAUAAACUAAAAUACAAAGAUAUAAACCAUAAAAUAAGUGUUGAUCACCCCCACAACUAGUGUAAGACAUCUAAAAGUAUGUAAAAAUGUGAUAAAACAUAUAUUUAUAGCAAUCGGGUAAGCCAAGUCUGUGCUAGAAUUGAAAUAGAAUGAAAAACCUAGGGGUGGAGUAGACCAUGUGUCACACCAUUUAUUCCUAUGGAUUGGAUCAUGCAAUUCACCCUAUAUUCCAUAGGAAUAGGUCAUGCUAUGCACGCUUAUUGCACGCCUCGACUGGAAUUUGCAUCUUAAAUUUUUGUUAAGUGUUGGGCCUUCCUUCUUCCAUCCCUUGCCUUGUGGUGUCUUUGUAAUGAUUUUUCAGCCUAUAUAUCAUCCAUAUAUCAUCAUAUUAAGCUCACAAAUGGUACUACAAAAAAACACCUCACGAAUUAGAGGUACAAACACACAAUAUCCAUCAUGAUGAAUAAAAACAAGAGCUUAGACUAGGUUGAUUUCCAUGAUCUUUCACUUGAAGUUUCAACUCUUUCCUUGACUCACUUGAAAUUUAUAAGCUACUAACAACUUAUUCCACAUAUAAUAGUAUAUAUAAACCAUAAGUAACACAUAAAACACAAUACAAUCCAUCAAGAUAGAUUAGACAAACAACUAGCUCAAGCUAGAAUGAGAGUUUUCUCUAUUGAACUCAAAUUGACUCUUUGAAGUACCAACUUACAUGGAAUUUAAUUUGAACAUUAUAAACAUAUUAUUUAACACUUUUGUACAUAUUUAUUUCAUUAUAAACCCAUAUAUCAUAGAAUCAUCCUUAAAACAAGGUUAAAACGACUAGAAUAGUGGCACUAGAAUGCAUAAAUACACCCCAACAUCAGUACGAUCCAUAACCUAGGGUAUGAGUGGUGAAGACCUAUCAUAAAAUAACUAGUGUUAGUUGGUGUGAUGGUUUUCAAAACUGUAAUUGAUACAAAUUAAGGGUAUAAGUCGUAAGUCAUGGGUUUGAGUCGUAUAUGUGACUCGUAAGGUGGUUAGUGUUUAAUCCUAUUGGUGUUACAUUCUACCAGGAAUACUUAUCAUGGGUGAGGAUCAUACGCUGAGGUUAUUACUUGGUUGGAUGAGAUGUAUAUUGUAUAGUGUCUGAUCCAUGGUUGAAGAUUGAUUAUGAUUGGGUCGGUAUCAACCGUAAGCUAGAUUACAACUCAUAAGAACGUCAGUCAUAACCCUGUGUCUAGUUUGUUUGGGAUUAAAGUGGGGAUAUUAUGGACAUUUCCCUACUUACCCUAAUAACGACCCAUGAUAUCUAAUGCACUUGGGAGGUUAUUAACCUUAUUAUUUUAUUCUUAAAUGCUUAGAAUCUCUUCCAAAACAUAUCACAAUUCUUUCAGGAGCUAGGGUUUCAACUAUGGAAUUACUUUAGGGCUUGUCUUCGUGAAUUAUUUCCAUUAAUAUUCUUGGCUUAAUGCAUGACUCUCUUCCCUACUUGUAAUUUCAAUUAAAUUCAUGGUCAUAUAGUUGACUUCAUGAUUUGUUCUUUUGCUUAGUUUUGUCUUUAAUCACUGAUUUAGGGGUUUUGAUGUUAAAGGAUUGGAUAUGAUUUCUUAUGGUUUUAAUUAUGUUUUUUUAUACAUUAAUGGUGGUUUUGGAUAAUGGAAUUGCAUGAUAAUAGAUUAAUGGUAAUGGAAUUUGGUUUUCGUUGUACUAUGCCCCCAAGCUGUUUGAUAAAAUACUUAUUAAGAUAUGAUCAUUGCAUUAACUUAUGUUAAAGGAACUCUUGCUUGUUUUCAUUUUAUAUAUGAAACCUUUCAUUUUUUUCAAAGGUUUACAAAGUUUAAUGUCUAAUUGGUAAUGCUUGUAGGAAACAUGGUAGUCUCCCAAAAGGUUAAUAUAUUAAAUGAAAAGGGUACCGAGAGUCCACUUAAUCUAAAUUAUUUGGCUACGGAUAAUUCUUGCAAGUAUGGUGAAGAUACCAUUGGUUGAUCAAAUAGCCUUGGUUAAUAAAUGGAUAAUUUGAUUAUUUUGGACUUGGUUUUAAUUGAGCAUUAAUAUCAAGAAGUGUAAGCUAAGCCAUAGAAGGUGGCGAUCUCAGGGGAUCAAAAUUGGAAACUUAUAUUUGAUGAUAUGAGGAUUUUCAAUGGCCAUGUACAAGUGUCACAUUUAUAUUAGAGGGAUAUAGUCAUCCUUGGGUUAUUGCCUAGUCAUUUGGAUANNNNNNNNNNNNNNNNNNNNNNNNNNNNNNNNNGCUACAAGGCCCAAGUUAAGGAUUUAAAUGUAAUGCUAAACUCGGUCCCUUAUCCCAACACUUAUAUAUAUAUAUAUAUGGUUGUUUGCAUUGGAUUAUUUUAACUUGGUUUUGAUAACUGGCAUUACUUAUCCUUAUCCUGAGAUUCAUGCUAGUAUUCACCCGCUAACCCAUCUACUAGCGGUUGUAUACCCAUUCUAUGAAAAAACCAAAUGUUUUAAUCCUCCUUAAUAGUACUUUAUUUGGGGACAACUUAUUGGACUAAAGUGGUGAGCUUCCAUCCUUUCAAACGACAUUAUUUUAUGUUGGACAUUCUUAGACUUUUUUUAUUUUAGGAUAUUAGUUUUGGCCAUAAUUGGAGAAACGUCCCAACCGAAUAUUCGUAUUCUUUUGGAUAGAGGCUUUAUGGUACUUCUAGGGGUUUAAAUAUGUGAGAUAGGUAUUAGUGUUAACCUUGGUAUCGAGAUAGAUGUUAGGGAUUAAACCCUUGUACGAUAUAUUUGUUUCCUCUAUUAUAUUAUAUUUUGGGUUUCACUUUCAUAUUAUGUUUUGAUAUUCUCUUUUGUUUGGUAUGGAAUGGAUGGUUGGUUUGGAAUGGACAGGCUUGCUUGGGUCGGUCAGGGUUGUGACCCUAUCCCAAAGUCUUCUUCAGAGCAUUGUAAAAUCUUCUUAUAUGGCUGAAAUUUAUCUCCUCUAAGUUUGUCUAAGGUGGUUGGGUUAGGUUAAGGGGGUGGUCCCUAGUUCUAUGUGGAUUUAGGAUGCCCAUUAUAAUGAGGCCACGAUCCGGGCUACGUCACAAUCAAGGAAUUAAUUCAAAUCCUUGAUUGAAUAAAAAUCUCUUAGGUUUCCUUACAACGAGUAGCAACUGAAGACUAUAAAAGAAGAAGUCUAAAGAUAGACAAAGAUUAUGAAACUUCAAGAAGAAUAUUGAAGUAUCUUAAUCUUAGUCUCACAAAGCUUUUUAACUUUUAUUUUACAAUUAUUGUAUAAAGAGUAGGAUCAAGUCAACUUUGUAACACAAACUAAAGUUGUUUCACAAGAUUUGAAGAACAAAAUAAGUCUUCAAAACUUGUUUCCCAUCAUUGUACUCGAUCCCGACAUUGAAUGAUCUAAAGAAAUAUUGUAACCCAAGGGUACUGGAAGUAGGCACAAUAAUGGUGUUUCGAUCUAGGAUAAAUAUCUAGGUCUUUGCUUUACAUUUGAUUAUUUAUUUUCUUAAUUAUUUCAAAUUUAAUCUAUUUUGUAAAGUGUACUGAUCUACAGGCGAGUCGACUUUGAGGAUCCAGUAGUCGACUCACAAAAAAUUUUCAAUUCACCCCCUCUUUAAUUUCAUUCAGGUUUUAGAGGAUAUAAUCCGCGCUUGUGUGAUGGACUUUGAUCGUUAGUAGGAGUAAUAUCUAUCUUUGGCAAUGUUUGCAUAAAAUACUAUCUACCAUUCCUGUAUCGAGAUGGCUCCAUUCGAGGCCUUGUAUGGUUGGCGUUGUCGCACUUCAGUUGGUUAGUUUGACUUUUUAGAGAUUAAACCUCGAGGUAAGAGCUUGAUUUAUGAGUCUUUAGAUAUAGUUUGGGUCAUUAAGGAUAGACUUAGAGCGGAUUAGAGUAAGUAGAAAUAUUAUGCAGAUAGUAGACUUUGUGUCUUGAGUUUUAGUGUUGGUGAUUGUGUCUUCCUUCUAUUUUACCUAUGAAUGACAUGAUAAGAAUUGGGAAUAGGGAAAAGCUUAGCUCGAGGUAUAUUGGACCUUUUGAAUUCCUUUAGACUAUUGGGGAUGUGGCUUAUGAGUUCGCAUUACCUCUAGAUUUAUAAGCUAUUCAUCCAGUUUUUCAUGUUUCUAUACUUUAGUGUUACAUUCUAGAUUAUUCUUAUGUAAUUCAUUAGGAUUCAGUACAGUUGGAUGGGCGAUUAUUAUUUAAGGAGCUUAUCUCCAUUCUAACUAUGGAUGUUAGACAGUUGUAUUAUAAGGUUAUUUAUUUAUUUAAGAUCCAAUGAAGGCAUUAAACAGUAGAUAAUUCUACUUAUGAAGUCGAGUUUGAUAUGCAUAGUAGUUAUCCCUAACUUUCUUCUUAUUUGGGUAUUUCUGUAGUCCAUAGUUUGAGGAAGAACUAGAUUUUUAGUGGUAGAUGAUGUAAUGAUUUGAUUUUUUGUGAUUUUUGUAAAAUAUUCACUUUUGUAUGAUUUGACAAUUUUACCCAUCCCUGUGGUUGCUUUUUGGUAUUUCAGAUGUAUAGGGAUGAUUGGCAUGGUUUCCGAUGUAUUUCAGUGUGAUUUGUACAAGUUUGUAGUUUUUGGUGGCUUAAAAAGCCUUAGAGAUGACUUCGGUCAACAUUUAUUGAUUUAUCCAUCAGAUGGGAAAAUGGACUAUGCCAGCAGAUCAAGAACAUCAAUUUUAGGUUGGUAACAUAGUUGGUGUGGUUUUACAAUUUUAUAUCUCAUUUCGAUCCUCAGUUUUGAAAGUUACAAAAUUAGGUUUUGGGGGUAUUUUGUAACAAACAUUUUUUGAAAAUAUGAUAUUGUCAUUGAGUUAGCAGCAUCGAAUUAGUAGGAUAGCAUAGUUUAUUUAUGUACUCAGGAUUUUGGAUGAAUCUCGAGGGGUUCGUGGAGUCAUGGAAUUCUCAAAACAUCCAGCUGGUGCACUACUCUGUUGGUGCACUUACUUAAGCAAUGCUUUGGCUGCUUAAGUGACUUGGCCCAAUAGCUAAAGUGUCGCCUAAGCAACACCAGGCCCACUUAAGCAAUUGCCUGGUCGCUUAAGAGACACUAACAAGCCAAAAACCUACCGCUUAAGCAAUACUAAAGUCACUUAUGUGACAAGGAAGGCUUUACUUAUAUGAUGCCUAGUCUCUUAUGUGAUAGCUACUUAAGCGACCCGGUAGUCGCUUAGGUGAUGUUUGGGUAGAUUACAACCCCAUUUUUGAGAUUUUUACACCAUUUUCAAGACUUAGAUCUGGGGUUUGAGUUUUUGAUCAUUUUCUUCAAUUUCUAAGCUUGGAUAAGAUCCAAAUCCCUAUUUUAAUUAUUUUCCUUUGCAUUUUAUCAUCUAAAUCUUGUUUAAGCUCAGAUCAAAAGUUGGAAUUUUGGAAUUUUGUACUAGAAGGCCCAAGUUACCAAUUCUUUGAUUCAAACCCAAAUUUCAACCCAUUUUCCCUUGUGUUUUCCCCUAUGAUUUCAUUUAAUCUUGGGAAAUAUAUUUUUGGAUUGACAUUUUGGUUUUACCCUUUUUUUCAAAAAUCCAUUUCGAGGGUUCAUUUUGACCCUAAUUAGAAAAGGGCAAUAUGGUUAUCAUUUACUUUCAUUUGAUCUAGAGAUUCAAUAUUUAUGUGUGUUAGCUACUUUUAACCUCGUGUGUAAGGUAAAAGCUCGGUGUUAAAGGAUUAUUAUACUUGUAUUAGCAUUCGAGGUAGGUUAUGGCUUAAUUUUCUUUAAAUUUGAUUGGGUAGUUAAUAAUAAUGUGAAAACAUGCUAUGGGUAUGGGCUUGUAUCAUGGAAAAUAUUUAUAUUUGAUUUAUGUGCACAUGUGGGACCUAUGUUGUUGAUAUGUGGUUGUUUUGAGAUAUUAUUUGUUAUGUGUGGCAUCAUGACGUCUUAUAUGGUGUUGUUGGCCUAGUAUUUAUAUAAAUACAUAUGUGUGUGUGUGUGUUUGGUUGUAAUUCCUUUGGUGGAAAAAUCCUAAAUUUUGGGAUUCAUGUGGAAUCAAUGGCAUUUUACUAGUAUGUUUCACUUAAUGGUUUUUGGAUUAUAUUGGAUUUUGGAUGGUUGAAUGAUUUAUGUAGAUUUUUUUGCUCAGAUGGCUGGUAUAUUGAUUGGAUAUUAUAAAUUCUCAUUUUUGUUGGUUAUGAGCAUUACACCUCAUAUCAUAUUCAAUCAUGAAACAUUGGUACCACCGUUGAAAUACUAAAAAUAUUUGAAACACUAACUUUUUCUGACAAAAAAUAUGACAUCUUUAAUAGCCCUCUACCGAUGUUUGUGCCAAAGAGGAGUAUGGAUAUUGGUAUUUGAUAUUUGUUGUAUACCAAUUGACGAACCCUCCAUUGGUCCUACCUGGGAGCAUAGCUUAAUAAUUAUAGGUUGACGAACCUCCCAUGGGUCUUACACCUACAGCUCAACUCGGUAGGUGUAUAUGGAGGUUGUAUAACAACCUCGUGCAUCAUCAUCUUCUUCAUUGCAUUACAUAUACUGUGCUUAUCCCAUGAUUGUGUUUCCUGUUCUUGACUUGAUAUCUGUCCUUUUGUUCUAUCUUCUUAUACUUAUAUUUGGAGUAUGUGUAUAUUUAUUCUUAUUUCCCUACCUAUAUUUGUUAUAUGUAUAUAGAAUAGAAUUGUUAGUGGAGAUUGUGUAGGCUACUAUUUUGGACUUUUUUUUAUUGCAGGUGACGUGGCCAUAGUUUGUGUUUAUAUGUUUUAUUUUCUACUUUACUUAGUCGGUCUAUGAUACCUACUAAGUAUAAAUGGAUUGUACUCAUCCCUACUGCACCCUUUUGGUGCAGAUCCAAGUACGAGUGCACUGUAUGGAUAGAUGAUUCAAGAGGCAUUUGGAGUCUAUUCAAGGUAGCAGUUGAUCUAUGCAUCUGGAGUUGGCUACUACCUUUUCUUGUUUAGAACAUGUCUUAUUUUUAUUCAUAGCCAGAGUUAUUCCUUUCGGGAUAUCCUAUGCAUAUUUUGACGUCAAGUUAUAUUAAUUGGUUCUUACAUUGUGACAACAAAUUUUGGAUUUUGUUUUUUAUCUUUGAUUAUAUUUCUGCUAUUAUCAUGUUUUGUGGCUCGACUUUACUUUAAAAUCCUUGUCUUGGGUUUUGGUAUUGAUUUCUCUUGUCUUAUUAGUUUGGGUGAUAGUCUUAUAGGUCAAGGCUUGCCGCGAUGAGUGCUAUCAUUACCGUUGGUUUUUAGGUCAUGAGAAAUGAGUUAAAAUUGUGAGAUAAUGAAUUAGAUGUCGAUUAAAGUCUCAUCAAGUGUUCAGUUCGUGACUUAUUUCUUUACUUUAAAAUGAAAGAUAGAAAUAAAAAAAUAAAAAUACAAGUGAAAGAUCCUAUUUAUGCAGUUUUUCUGGAAUCUUGACUUGAAUCUUCAUGACCUCUAAUGUUGUGGGAUAAUCUUUAUUUUGAGUUAAACUUGAAAAAUAAAUUUUCCUCCAUGACGACUCUUGGUAUUGGAGAGGAACUUGAAAAUUGACUGCAUUCUUCAGGUGGUCACUUGAUACUUCUGACAUUGAAACUAAGAAUCACCCAGUUUUUCAUGUGGGCUCCUAAAUUUGAACUAAAAUUAUUGAUCCUAUUAUCCAGAUGGGUUACUGAACUUGAAAUAAAGAUUGAUACUAUUCUCCAGGCAGGCUUUCUAAGUAUCAAAACUAUAAGUAAUUCUUGUUCUUCGAACGAGUUCCUAAAUCAAAAUAAAGAGUAAACUAGAACAGUAAAUCCUAUUUUUCAGGAGGGUCUUGUGCAAAAAAUUAAAGUCCCAUUUUUCAUGAAGGUCCUAAAGAGAAAAAUAAAAUCCCAUUCUUAGAAGGGUCUUACUAAUCAAAAUUCCACUUUUCAGGAGUGUCCUAAAUAGCAAAAUAAUAUCCCAUUUUCCAAAAGUGUCAUGAACAUAAAAUUAAAGUUCCAUUAUCUAGUAACAUUAACAUUAAAAGACAUAGAAAAAGACAUUAAAAUCCCAUUUUCCUCAUGUCAGUAACAUUAAAACACAUAGAAAAAGAUCUUGUCCAACCAAGAAGAAAUGUCUGUGGAAAUAAAAAAUCAGCAGCUAGCAUAGAAGAAUUUUGAGACAUAGUUGGGGAAGCUAGAUCAAGCAAAAAAUACAAGACCUCCAGGGGAUUUUCCUAGUGAUACUGAAAAUCCAGAGCAAGUAAUAUGAUCACCUUACGAAGUGGUAGAGACUUGAUUGAUAGACCUCCAAAGAAAAAUUAGGAGAUACCAGUAGAGGUAGUCCCAUAAAAAGUAGAUGCAAAGCAAUGAAAGACCAAAGAAGCUAAAAAUUUGGGAAAGUUUGAGAACCCAAAAACAAAGGCAGUUGAGCAUACACAAGAGAGACCCCUACCACCAUUCCCUCAAAAGAUGGAAAAGGCUAAAGAGGAUGUUUUUUUUAAGAAGUUCUUUGACACAUUUAGAUAACUUCACAUUAAACUUCCUCUAUUAGAUAUUUUUUUCAGGGAAUGGAAAAGUACAUUAAGUGCUUGAAGAAUGUAGUGACAAAUAAGACAAAUUUAGGUGGUUGAGAUGGUGGUACUUAUAGAGGAGUGUUGCUCAAUUAUGAUGUGCGAGAUUCCUAUGAAGCUUGAGGACCCAGGGAGUUCUGCCCUCCCCAUAUAAAUUGGUAAAAGUGAUGUGGUUUGUCCUUUGCGUGAUUUGGGGGAGAUCAUAAAUUUGAUUCCCCUAUCAGUAUUCAUUCUCUUAGUUUUUGAAAAUGGAGACCAUGUUUAAUGGUGCUCCAAAAGGCAGAUAUCAAAUAAGUAGUACUCAACAAAAUCAUAGAGGAUGUUAUUAAAAUUGGUACAUUCAUUAUUCUUGCUGACUUUAAUAUUCUUGAUUAUGAUGUAGAUGACAGGAUGUUGAUCAUGAUAGAAUGUCCAUUCUUGCCAACUGGAGGAGCACUUAUUGAUAUGAAAGAGGGCACUCUAAAAAUAAGAUUGACUCAUAAAGAGGUGGUCUUUAGAGUGUAAUGACUUAAUUUUUAGUUAUUUUGUGAUUAUUUAUUUCUAUGUUAUUGGACUAUUUCACCCUUCCAUGUGGCUAUUUUAUUGUAUUUUUAGGGUGCGGCGAUGAUUGGUAUCGUUCCUAAUAAAUUUCAAUGUGGUUUGUGCAAGUUUGUAGUUUUUGGUGGUUUAAAAGGCUUCUUAGUUGACCUUGGUCAACAUUUAUUGAUCUAUGCAUUUGAUGGCAAAACGGACUACAUUAAGAGAUCUGGAAUGUUGAUUUUACGUUGGUAACAUAGUUGGUGUGGUUUUAUAACAUUUGUAUCUCAUUUUAACCCUCAAAUUAGGAAGAUGUGAAUUUCUUUGGGGAGGUCAACUUUUUGACAAUGACAUUUUCUCAAAAAUUUGAUAUCGCCAUUAAAUAUGAAAUAUCAAAUAUAGUCUAGUAUCAUUGUUCAUUUGUGUUCUUUGGAUUUCAAACUAAUCCUAGGGGUAUGCGGAGAAUUAGAAUUCUCUAAGUAUCUAGCCGAUGCACCACUCAACUGGUGCAUCCGCUUAAGCAACAUUUGGUCAUUUAAGCGACCUAGCAUCUAGCUGAGGGUAUAUCUUAAGUGACUCACCCAUUGCUAAAGUGACUAUUGCUUAAGAGACAAUAAGUAUCUUACACAACACUUGUAUGCCAGGUGGGUUUCACAAAAGGGACACCUAAUUGCUUAAGCUAUAGCUGCUAAUCCACCCGUUGUUUACUUAAGUGAUGCCUGGGUGUGUAUUAUACCCUUUUUGUGACUUUUUCACUAUUUUCUACACUUGGAGCUUAGGGUUUUAUGUUUUUGGGAAAUUUCUUCCAUCGUCAAGCUUGGUUAAGCUCAAAAUCCCUAUUUCAAUUAUUAUUCUUUGCUUUCUGUCAAUUAAAUUUUGUUAAAACUUGAACUCAAAAGUGAAAUUUGUGGGAUUUUGGCUCGAAAGAUCUAAAUGAGUAAUUCUUCAAUUUAAACUCUAAUCUCAACCUAUUUUUACUUUGGUUUUCUUCUAUGAAUUUCUUUAGUCAUGGCUAAUAUAUUUUUUGACUAAAUUUUAGUUUUACCCUUCUUUUAGGAAAAUCCAUUUUGGGAUCCACUUUGACCCUAACCCAAAAAUGGGUACUAGGGGUAUCAUUGGCUUUCUUUAAUGCAUAAAUUCUAUAUUUGUAUGCUUUAGUCAAUUUUGGAUCCAUUCAUGGGGAGAAAUCUCUAUGUUGAGGAUUUUGGUCUAAUUUUUGGUAUUCAAAGUAGGAUAUGGCUUAACUUUCUUCAGACUAGGCUGGGUAGUUAUUAUUGGUCUAAAAUCAUGUUAUAGAUAUGGGAACUAAUCGUAAAAAUGACUUUAUUAUUGUUUUGUGCCCAUGUAGGGGCCUAUGCUGUUGUUGUUUGAUAGUUUUGAGACAUUAUUGGCUAUGUGUGACCAUGUGGAGUUUUAUAUGAUAUUGUUGGCCUUGUUUAUGCAAAUUGGUAGCAUCUUUUCAGGUGAAAAAGCCUAAUUUGGAAUUUAUGUAAUAUCAAUAGCAUAUUUUUGUACAUUUUAUUCUACUGCCAUAUGGAUUAUAUUGAAUUCAUUUAUGGUUGGCAUAUUGAGGGGAAUUUGGCUAACAUUAUUGUAAUGUUGGUUGUAUUUCAAAAUUUUCAUUCCAGCUAGUUUUGAGUUUUACAUUCUUAUAUCAUAUACAUUUAUGAAACAUUGGUACUAGUGUGGAAAUACUAGAAAUACUGGCUUUUUUGAUAGAAAAUAUGACAUCUUUAAAACCCAUUUAUUGAUGUAUCUGCAAGAGAGAAGUCUUGAUAUUGUAUUGGUAUUAGAUAUUAUAUUAUAUAUAGGUUGACGUACCCCCCAUAGGUCCUACCUUAGUAGAAUAGCUUAGUAGAUGUAUACAGAGAUUUUACGACAAACUCAUGCAUUACAUCAUCAUCUUCUUCUUCUUCAUUGCAUUCCAUACGUUUUUACAUUCUAUGUUGUAUUCACAUUCUUAAUGUGAUAUCUAUAUAUUUAUGUUUAUUUUUUGUACUUGUUUUUUGGUAUAUGUUUAUAAUAUAGAACUAUUAGUAGAGACGGUAUGAGCAAUCAUUUGGGAUAUUUUAUUAUGGUAGGUAACAUAUUCAUAGUGUGUAUUUUAUAUGCUUUAUUUUCUACUUUACUCAUUUGGCCUAUGAUCCUACUGAGUGCAAGUGGACUUUACUCAUCCUUAUUAUGCCUUUUUGGUGUAGAUCCAUGUACAAGUGCACCACAUAGUGCUAAUUCGGGCAGUGCUUGGAGUAUUUUUUAUGUAGCAGUUGGUCUAUGCUUUUGGAGUUGAUAUACUAGCUUUCUUAUCUAGUUCAUGUCUUGUUUUGUAUUAAAAGAUAGAUUAAGUUUCUUUUUAAACUAUUAUUUUAUUUUGAUUUUGAGAUGUACUUGGUUGGUUCUUACAUUGUGACAUCAAAUUUUGGGAAAUUAAUGGUAUCUUUUUAAUGUUCUACUAUUAUGGUAUAUGUGUGGUUUGCUUAAUUUUACAAGCCUUACCUUUGGAUUUGGCAUUGUUUUCUCAUUUUAUACCAGUUUGGGUAAUAGGCUUACAUAUCAAGAUUUUUCAUGAUAAGUGUCACUAUGACCCUUGGAUUUUAAGUCAUGACAAAUUAGUAGCAACCAGUUUCAUCGAUCUCAUCAGUGUAAGAAUAGAAUGCCUAGUGGAGUCUCAUGGAUUGGUAUGUAGACGUCCAUAUCUAUCCUUAAGUGGCUAUCGUAGGAAACUUUUCUUACUUUAUUCAUUAUCAUUAGGAUUCUUUCAUGCGUUGUCUUCUAAAGAAUAUUUCACUCUUUUCUACAUAUAUGGUGAGGACUGGAUUGAGUGAGGUUAGAGAUAUUAAUCUAUCAUUUGAGAAGAGAGAUCAAUAUAGAAAGUGAGUUGGAAACCAUGGUCGGGCUUGAGGUAGUGGAUAAGCAUGAGGAUCUACUCAUUCCAUAGGUAGUACUAGGAGGAUCUCCCCUUAACUUAGGUUGAGAGUGCUGGAGAUAUAGAGCCUACUUUAGUUCAACAAAGUUAUUCUACCCCUGUUUUAUAGGGCUUACUUAUUCGCUUGCUGACUCAUUUGGAGGGUACUCUUUUGAGUGCACCUGGUGCUCCUCCAGCUCUGAGUAUUGUACCUCUAUUUGUGCUUGAGUCUACCUAUAGUAUUCCUCUAGUUCUAAGUGUAGAUCCUCUAGUGGUAUUGAUAUCUUCUUAUGGUACUCCACAGACUCUGAGUGUUAUUCGUCCUUCCCUACCAACACUUAUGUAUGGUAUUUUGAGAUUAAGAGUUCACCCUUCAUCUAUGUUACCUCCUCAGAAGGGAUCUCAGCCAACCAUAUUCACUAUGCCUCUUAAUAUUGUGAGUAUAGUUAUGUCUUUUUAGGAUCAAAAGAUGUUUGAGAGACUUACUCAUUUGGGUCCUCUUAGGUUCAAUGGUGUUGUGGGUGAGGAAUUCUAUGAAUUCUUUGAUUAAUUGUAGGAGAAUUUGUAUAAUCUUGAAUCUCUUGAGUCGCAUGAGGUUACUUACGCUACUUACUAGUUGAGAGAUAUAGUUAUGGAUUCGUGCAGGUCACUAGUUAGUUGCAGACCUCUUGGUCCCUAGAGAUGGCUUAGGAUUAGUUUGUUAAGGCCUUUUUGGAUGGGUUUAUUCCAUACAGUCUAAGGGAUUAGAUAAGAGAUAAGUUUGAUCACCUAGAGAAGGGCUUUAUGACUAUUGUAGAGUAUGGGGCAUGUUUCCAUGCCUUGUAUAGAUAUUCUUAAACCAGUAUUGCCACUGAGUCUGAGAAGAUUUUAAAGUUUAUGAAUGGUUUGGAUGUUUUGCUUUACCUUACUACUACCCAAAUGGUACUGUUAGGGGCAUUCUUUCAGAGUAAAAUAGAUCAUGCUAAGAUGAUUAAGUCUAUACAUUGAUCAUCUUAUGGAGGCAUCAAGAGGGUGCACCAUCAAGGCAAAUUUAGAGGUGCACCCUCAAGGCAAAUUUAGAGGUCAUACUCCUCGAGGUAGAGAUUUUAAAGGCUUUCGUAAGUAUCCUAGAAGACUUGUAUAGGCAGCCUUGCAGGGUCUAGGUAAUGGGUCUUCUAAUUUAAAAGGUUUGGCUGGUAUUUCUGGCUCAGCUUUACCUUCCCUAUUGAGUCGAGUCAUAGAGGUUGUUUUAUGUGUGAUGAGAUUAGCCAUUAGGCCAAGGCCUAUCCCUACUGUAUUCUUAGGCCUACUUUUUUAUCAGAAGUAAGAGGUGGGAGGUCUACUAGAGGUACAAAAGACAAAGGUAGUAAUGGUCAUGGUGGAAUUUGUAGGGUUACUUAAUCAUGUUGUGGUCAUGAACAGUGCUAUGCUAUACCCACCAGGAAAAAGGUAGAGGCUUCUGACACUAUUAUCUUAGGUAUUAUCCCCAUUUUUUUUAGAUCUGCAUAUAUUUUAUUUGACCUAAAAUCGAAUUUAUCCUAUAUGGAUGCAUAUUUUGCUUUGGAUUUUGAUUCUACUAGUGAGCCUUUUGUCGUGCCUAUCUGUGUAUCUAUCCUUGUAAAAGACUCUUUAGUGGUGGAUGGGGUGUUCUAAUUUUGUUUUAUGACCUUUAUUGGGUGUGAGACUUGGGUAGAUCUUAUUAUCUAAGGUAUGGUAGAUUUUGAUAUUAGUUAUGGUAUGGAUUGGUUAGAUCUUUAUCAUGAUGUAUGCUAAGAUCGUGACCUUACCUUUGCUAGGUGUGCUGAGGAUAGCUUAGUUAGGGUCCCAAGAGAGUUAUGUGUAACACCCUAGAUUUUUGCCCUAGAAAAAUUCUAAGUUUUGAACUCACUGUCCAACCUACUACUCACCAUACGAGUCAUAAGGUGUCUUGACGGGUCAUAGAACCCCAAAUCGUAGGGUAUCCAAUAAAGUUUGUUGAAGUUACGACUAGGGUUCACGAGUCAUAAAGACUUUAUACGAGUCAUAUAGUCUAAAUUGUAGGCUAACUAGUGUUAUGCCCCAAGUGUUCUAUCCUAAUUACAACUGGAUGUUUUGAGUCAUAUAGACUUAUUACGAGUCAUAAUGUGCCAUCCGUAAGGGAACCAAUGUAGGGCCUUAAUGUUUCUACCUAGGCUAUGACUCUUGGUGACGAGUCGUAAUGAGACCCUAUGAGUCAUAAGAUGACCCGUGGUCAAUGAUGACAGAUUUCCAUAUUUCAUUAAGGGUACUUUGGAUUUCCCUUUCUUCUAACUAUAACCGACAACCUUAAAACACUUUGGGGACCCCAUUGUCCUUCAUAAACAUAUUAAAUACUCUCUUUACUUCCUCAAACUCUCCUAAAUACCUAAGGGAAGAACAAGUUAGGGUUUCUCAGAGUUGGAUAUCUAAGGGCUCAAGGAUUGAUCUCUCUCCAUAAUUCUUUGUACUUUCAGGCAUGUUGCUCUUCUCCAAGUCUUAUUUUAUGAAAAGCAUGUGUUUAUAAUCUUACCCAUGUGAUAAGUUAUGAUUUUAAAUGUGGGUUGAGGAUUAUCAAACAUUAUUGUAUUACUUGUUUUUCACAUAGCUUUUAUGAAUCAUGUAUGACUUGAAUUGAUGUUUUUGAACAUGUGGGGUGUAUGGGCACGAUGAAUGAACUCAGGGGUCAGGGUUUCCCCUAAUUUCAUGAAUAUGGAUUAUUUAAAUUGUAUAACCCCAACCUAAUCUUGUGAAAUUGGCUUUGAUUAUCAGUACAUUUGCAUUAAGCUACUUCUGUAACCCUUGCACAAUAUAAAAAGGUUAUUCAAACAUAAUGGUUUGAUUUAAUGAACAAAGGUGUUCAUGGUAUUCCCCCAAAUAGACUAAAUGAACAAAGGGGAUUGUUUUCUUAAGUAAAUAGAAUUGUACUAGCAUGAUGAUGUUACCUUGCAAGUGUAGUUGGUAUGACAAUACUAACUAUGUAUGUCUUGAGUAAUAUUGUGGCUCAAGUAAUGGGAAUAUGUGAAAAAUAUUUUAACUGGGCUUAAAAAGGGUUAUGCAUCUUAGUAAUGAAAGUGAAGGUCCCGAGAGACCAACAUCAAAAACUGUAUUUGUUAGCAUAGGGGUCUAAAUUGCUUAGGGUUCGAGUCCCCUUACUUAUGACUACGUGGUUUGAGUCUCCCUUAUGACUGACUGGGUGUACAUGUCACCCUUGAUAUUUGACAGGGUGGUUUGAGUCUCUAUUGGUACAUAUGUACAUAGUAUUAUUCUCUGGUUGAUGCGGCUACAAGCAAUGGGGUUUUUUCAGCUGGGAGAGUAGAGCCCAUAUAGCCUGUGGGUGCCCUUUUAUGAUGGUUAAGCUACACAAACUAGAAAAAUAUUUUAAAGUUUAUGCUAAGCCUUGUUCUUUUCCCCGAAUGUGAUAUUUAUAUAUAUGUAUAUGCAUAUAAUUAUGUACAUUAGAUUUUAGAUAAUUUUAAACAUUGAUCAUGGAAUAAUUUUAUCCCUUUCCUAAGUUCAAUGCCAAUGCUCAACCUGCUAACCAUCUCUGAAUGUUUUAUUCACUCAAAAUGCAAGAACUGGAGACACUUCUGCUUUUAUUUUGGCAGUGAUUGGAUUUUUAGGUUAUCAACAGCCAACUUUAAGUGGUGAGCCUCAUUCUCCUAGAAGGCUGUUACUUUUUGGUUUAUCUUUUAUCAUAGACUUUUCUUUGGAGUUAUUUAGGCUAUCAUCAGGGGUAUGUCCCAAUAUUAGUUUGAUUUGGUUUUGUCAUAAAGGUUGUGUGGAUUACUAUGGACUGGGUACUGGUUGUGGAUGUAUUUUAGAGUCCUUGAGCAUAUAUUUUUCUAUUUUGUUAUAUGUUCAAAAUUCAGCCAAUGUCAUGUGUAUUGUAUUUAUGUGAUUAGGCAAAGAAGGUGUUUUCCUAUCCAGGGUAGACUUGGGAUAUCCUUCAUGGCUAGGACCUAGUUUGGAUCAUGAUAUUAUAUUAGUUUUUUAGGCUCAUCUCUUAGUUGAGAAGGGGUGUUUGUCUUUUUGGCUCAUAUUCUUGAUAUUAGUGUUGCUUCACCACCACCUUUGGAUUUUGUUCAUAUUGUUCAUGAUUUCAUGGAUGUUUUCCUUACGUAUUUCCUUGGUAUUCCUCUGGAUUGUGAUAUUGAAUUUUCUAUUAAGGUUGAGCUAGACACUAAGCCCAUUUCUAUUCUUUCUUAUAGGAUGGCCCAGUAGAGUUGAAGGAAUUAAAGGAUCAGUUGAAGGAGUUGUUGGAUAAGGUAUUUAUCUAACCUAGUGUAUCACCUUGGGGUGUGUCUGUCUUGUUUGUGAAGAAAAAGGAUAGGUAUAUGCAUAUAUGUAUUAAUUAUCAGCAAUUGAACAAGGUGAUAGUGAUGGUUAUUAAUAAGUAUCUUCUUUCUCAUAUUGAUGAUUUGUUAGAUCAGAUUUAGGGUGGUUUUUGUUUUCAAAGAUUGAUUUGAGAUCUAGUUAUCACUAGUUCAGGAUUAGAGCUUUGGAUAUUUCAAAGACAUUUAUUUUAGACUCAGUAUAGUCAUUAUGAGUUCUUUGUCAUAUACUUUAGGUUGACCAAUGCCCCAUCCAUAUUUAUGGAUUUAAUAAAUGGGGUAUAUUAUCUAUACCUCAACUCUUUUUAUUUUAUUUAUAGAUGAUAUCUUGGUUUAUCUCAAGAGUGAGGUCGUUCAUAAAGAACAAUUAUAGAUUGUGCUCCUGAGAUUGAGGGGUGAUAAGUCGUAUGAUAAGUUAUCCAAGUGUGAAUUUUAGUUGUAGUAUGCUUUUUUCUUUGUUUAUGUAGUGACCAAGGAUAGUAAUUACAGUGGUUCAUAAUUGGGCUAGACCUAUUUCUCCUACCGAGAUUUAGAGGUUUAUUGGUUUGAUAAGUUACUAUUGGCCUUUUUUUAUCUAUUGUAGCUCUAUUGACCAUUUUAACUUGGAAGAAGAUUUCCAUUCAGUGGUUUGAUGCUUGUAAGGCAAGCAUUCAAAAGCUUAAAAACUUAUUGACUUUAGCUCUUAUCUUGACUUUUUCCAGGGAGGGCAUAGGGUUUACCAUCCGUUGUAGGACAUUAGGUGUUUGGUUAAAUAUUGUGUUAAUGUAAGAGGGUAAGGUGAUUGUGUAUGCUUCACAUCAGUUGAAGCCCUAUAGGAAAAAUUACCCUAUCAGUGAUUUGGAGUAGUGUCCAGUUGUAUUUGCUUUGAAGUUAUAGAGCCACUACUUGUAUGGAAUUCAUUGUGGUAUCUUCUCAGAUUAUCUUAUCCUUAAGUAUCUCUUCACCCAGUCUGAUCUUAAUCAAAGGCAACGUCGUUGUCUUGAGUUGUUUAAGGAUUAUGAUCCUACUAUUGUAUAUCAUUUAGGCUAGAAAAAUGUGGUUACGGAUGCCUUGAUCCAGAAAUUAACUAGCAUAGAUAGCUUAGUGGAUCUUUUGACCUAAGAGUGGUUUUUGGCCUUAGAGGUUUAUCCUUUGGAUAACCAGAUAGUUAGACUUGAUAUUAUUUCACCGACGUGUCUUUUAACAUUUGUGGAGGCUAAUUGUUCUUUGAUGGAGCAGAUUCGGGCUUAUCAAUUUUAUGAUGUAGGGUUGAGAGUGUUCAGGAUAAGGUAUUAAGAGGAGAGACUAAGGAGGACUCACUUAAUUCAGAUGGUGUUUUAAGGAUUGGAGGUCGAGUAUAUGUCUCGAGAGUAGAUGAUUGGAUUAUAGUGAUUUUGGAGGAGGCUCAUUGUUCUAGGUACUUCAUCAUCUAGGAGUGACUAAGAUGUAUUGUGAUAACAUUACUAGUGGGGUGGUAUGAAGAUGAAUGUAGCUUAUUUUGUAGAUUGUUGCUUAUGUUUCUAGGAGAUAAAAGUCGAGAAUUUGAGGCCUGGUCAUUUUUUUCAAGGGUUACCCAUUCCCAAGUAGAAAUGGGAAUGGAUUACUAUGGACUUUGUGACUGAGUUGCUACAUACUUCUCGUAGUUCUGAUAGUAUUUAGGUCAUCAUGGAUCGAUUGACCAAAUUUGCUAAUUUUAUUUUGGUUCAAGUUUUAUUUAGUGUCGAGAGGUUGCCUACAUCUUUAUUUAUGAGAUAGUUUAUCUUUAUAGUGGGUUAGUGUCUAUCAUCUUGGAUAGAGGUUCAAUGUUCACAUCUUAUUUUUAUAAGACCCUUUUGGAGGAUUUGGGUACCCAAGGUGAUCAUAGUAUAACUUUCCACCCACAGAACAAUAGUGAGGCAGAGCAUAUGUUAGAGGACAGGCUCCAUGUGUGUGUUAUGGACUUUAGACGUUAGUAGAAGUAGCAUCUAGAUUUGGCGGAUUUAGCAUAUAAUAUCAGCUACCAUUCCAGUAUUAAGAUGACUUAUUUUGAGGCUUUGUAUGGUAGGCAUUGGUGCUCUCCAGUUGGUUUGUUUAAGGUUUUUUAUAUUAGACCUUAAGGUAAGGACAUUCUUCAUGGGUCCCAAUGUAGAGUUCAGAUCAUUCAGGAUAGACUUUGAGUUGCUCGGUGUAGGCAAAAAUGCUAUGUAGAUCAUUGACUUUGUGCCUUGAUAUUUAAUAGUGGAGAUUAAGUUUUCCUUUGUGUGUCACCCAUGAAGUGCAUGAUAAGGUUUAGGAAGAGGGAAAAGCUUAGACCUAGGUUUAUUAAACCUUUUAAGAUUCUUCAUGUUAUUGAAGAUGUAUCUUAUGAGUUAGCAUUGCCCCUAGAUUUUUCAACUAUUUAUCCAGUUUUUCAUGUUUCCAUGCCUAAGCAUUAUAUUUCGGACGAGUCGCAUGUCAUUCGUUGGGAUUUAGUCUAUUUAGAUGAGAGGUUGUCAUUUGUUAAGGAGCCAAUCUCUAUUCUAGGCAAGGAUGUUAGGCGGUUACAUUUUAGAGUUAAUCCUGUGGUUAAGGUCCAGUAGAGACAUCGACCUGUAGAUGAGGCUACGUAGGAGUAUGAGUUUGAUAUGUGUGGUAGUUAUCCUCAAUUUUUCUCUCAUUCGAGUAUUUCCCUUGCCUUUAGUUUAAAGACGAACUAGAUUUUAAGUGGUGGAUAAUGUAAUUACUUAAUUUUUGGUGAUUUUGUGAAGUGUUCAUUUUUAUGUGAUUUGACCAUUUUACCUUACUCUGUAGUUUCUAUGUGGUAUUUUUAGGGUGCGGGAUGAUUGACACAGUUUCUAAUGUAUUUUGAGAUGGUUUGUGUGAGUUUAUGGUCUUUGGUGGUUAAAAAGCGUAUAAGUUGACUUUGAUAGACAUUUACUGAUCUGUACAUUGGAUAGAAAAAUUGACUAUGCCAGUAGAUUCAAAAUGUUGAUUUUAGGUUGGUAUCAUGGUUGUUGUGAUUUUAAGGCUUUUACAUCUCAUUCUGACCCUUAGAUUCGAAGUUGUAAAAUUGGGUUACGAGGGUCAACUUUUUAUACAACAACAAUUUCAAAAUUAUGAUAUGACCUUUGAGUCUGAAGCGCCAAAUUUAGUCUAGUAGCAUAGUUUGUUUGUAUUCUCAAGAUUUUGGAUGAAUCUUGAGGGGUUCACAGAGAAUAAGAAUUCUCCAAGUCUCCAACUGAUGCAGCACUUAGCUGGUGCAUCUGCUUAAUCAAUAUUUUGGUAACUUAAGAGACCUAACAACCACCUGGGGUAUUGCUUAAAUGACUCCCCCAUUGUGUAAGCAAGUGUCGCUUGAGCAAAAGUUAGGUCACUUUCGUGACAUUCGCAUUCCACGUAGGUAUCGCAAAGGCCACACCUGGUUGCUUAAGCUACAACCAUAUAAGUAUUCUGGUGUUCGCUUAAGCGAUGUCUGGGUGGGUUAUAUGCCCCUCUGUUUUAAAAUUUUCACCUUUUUUACACUUGAAACUUGGGGUUUUGAGUUUUUGGAUGAUUUCUUCCAUUUUAAAGCUCAAGUAGGCUCCAAAUUUAUCUUUCAAUCAUUUUUCUUUGAUUCUUUUCAUUUAUAUCUUGUUAAAACUUGAAUUCAAAUGUGAAAUUUGUGGGAUUUUGGCUCAGAAGGCCUAAAUGAGUAAUUCUUCAAUUUAAAUCCCAAUUUCAACCUAUUUAACUUAGGUUUUCUUCUAUGGCUUCCUUUAAUCAUGGGUAAUAUAUUUUUGGACAAAAGUUUUGGUUUUACCCUUCCUUUUCAAAAAUCCUUUUCGAGGGUCUGUUUUGACCCUAACCCAGGAAUGGGCAAUAUGGGUAUCGUUUGCUUUCUUUUAAUGCAUAGAUUCUAUAUUUGUAUGUUUUAGUUGAUUCCAGAUCUAUUCGUAGGGAGAAAGCUCUAUGUUGAGUGCUUUCCGGACUAGUUUUCAACAUUUGAACUAGGUUAUGGCUUAACUUUUUUCAAACUAGAUUGGUAGUUAAUAUUUGUUUACAAACAUGUUAUGGGUAUGGGAACUAAUAAUGGAAAUGGAUUUAUUGUUUUUUUGUGCCCAUGUAAGGGCCUAGGUUGGUUUUAUUUUGUGAUUUGAGGCAUUAUUUGCUCUGUGUGACUGCGUGGGGUCUUAUAUGAUGUUGUUGCCCAUGUUUAUGUAUAUUGGUUGUAUCUUUUCUGGUGAAAAGCCUAAAUUGGAAUUUAUUUAUUAUAUGGUAUCAAUUGCAUAUCUUUGUCUAUUUUACUCUAUUGGCAUAUUGAUUAUAUUGGAUCAUAAAUUGUCGGCAUAUUCGGUGAUUUUUUCUCACAUGAUUGGUAUAUUGGUUGGAUUUGGAAAUUCUCAUUCUGGUUGAUUGUGAUCAUUACAUCCUCAUAUCAAAUCAUUAAUGAAAUAUUGGUACCAUCGUGGAAAUACUAUAAAUACUGCCUUUUUCUGAUAGAAAAUAUGACACUUUUAAAAGCUUUUGUCGAUGUAUGUGCCGGAGAGAAGUUGUGAUAUUGAAUUGGUAUUGGAUAUAAAAUAGUAUAUGGGUUGAUGACCCCCCCGCCUCCCCAUGGGUCCUACUAUGGAAGCAAAACUUGGUAGGUGAAUAUUGAGGUUAUAUGACAACCUCGUACAUCACAUCAUCAUCAUCUUCAUUGCAUUUUAUAUGUUGUGCACAUUUUGUGUUGUAUUCUCAUUCUUGAUGUGAUAUCUAUCUAUUUAUCUUUCUUGCACUUGUAUUUUGGUAUGUAUUUAUAUUGUAGAGCUAUAGUGGAGACAGUGUGGGCUAUCAUUUGUGACAUUUUCUGAUGCCUUGAUUCUUUUCCGUGGCAACGACGCUAAAAAUUGAUGUCACCCAAAACUAACCUCCAAAGAAAUCUGUGGUUGUUGACGCAAGUAUAGUUACCCAAACUAGGUUGGGGUUUAACCCACAUGGAAUGCUUGGAAUAAUGUGUUGAACUUGACGAAAUCAUGGGCAGUGCUGAAAAUUAAAUAUAGGGAAUUUGAAACCACAAUAACACAUAACCGAACUUGAGUGCUUGAGAUUGUAAACAAUAGAAGACGAACACUAGGACUCUGUCCCCCCUAACUUCUAAAUCUGUAAGAGUCUCAGGUUCAAUUCAUCUAUCCUAUUGCUAUGCAUGCAAAGACUGACAAGUUAUGUAUUAUCAAUCACCUUGUGAACGCAUUGAUAAAUCUCAUCCGUCACCCUUUAAGUCUCAGGGCGUCGCCUUACUAUCCCUUGUCUUUGACCCCAGUACAACUAUACCUUAUGGGUCUCAAGUUUAUUAGAUGAGGGUUGAUAGCCUUAAAUUACUAUCAUAAUCUUCUUUUCUCAAUAUCAAACUUGUUUGUGAGGAUGAUAUAGAAUACAAGGAAUUCCCAAUCUUCUAGAGUAGCUUGGGAUACAAUUAAUAUAAAGAAAAUCAAGAUACAUGCAUCCACAACAAAAAUAUUAAUCUCCCACUUCCCUUACGUAGUCAAUAUGCCAGGGGUCCCACAACCCAAGUCAAGGAAAUUAGCUGCUCAAUUCAUGAAAAUCAAUGAAAAAGACAUGUAAUUAAUUGAACAAAAAUGAAAGAGUAAAAUAAAAAAUCUCCAAUUGAAUACGAAACCAAGACCACAUGGACAAAAUCAAGAACUCAAAGUAUAUUCAAAAGUAUUAAAAGUGCGUAAAAUAAUAAUGGAAUAACCAUAGGGUAUUUAUAGUAUCUCAAAAUAGUAAAGAAAUCCUAAUUAUAAUGGAAUAGGAAAAUUAAGUCAGCAGUGGUCACGACUCUAGUAAUGAGUUGUUAGGUCUGCUUAUGACUCGUUGCUUGAUCUCAUAGCUCUUUUUUGGCUUCAACGAUUAUGACUCAUAUGCUCUCCGUACGAGUCGUAUGCUUCUUAUUGUAGGCACUCCAAUAGCUUUUCUCUUUCAAAGAAAAUGAAUCUGUUGUUUUUAUGACUUCUCGUUAUGAGUCGUAGUCAUACAUUACGACUCGUGGUCUUCACUCGUAUCCAUUAGAGCAUCAAUAUUCGGGCUUUAGAUACUCGUCACAGUACGAAUUCUUACAAUGAGUCGUAGUCUGACCUUACGACUUAUCGUCCUGCAUAAUUUUCCGCCUGGACUUCAGCAUUUCUAACUAUUGUCAUUACGCUUGCACACCAUAAAUCACGGUCACUCCUUAUUAGUCGUGGUCAAUAUUUACUUAGUUCCUCAACUAAGCUUUUGUCACUAUUAUCCUUAUGAGCUUGGCUUUGAGUCAUAAGGUAACUUAGUGACUCGUACGUUGACCACAACUUCAACAUAUUCAGAGUUUUUUCUUCCAUUUUUAAUGGCAAGCCACUUCCUACCUAAUUUACCUGUAUUACAUACAAAACACAUAUCAUAUCCGAUAAAAUAUCCCAAGUCAAUGCAUAAUUUCACAGUUUUACGCAUAGAAUUUUCCUUGAAAACACAGCACAUCAGUAGUUGAUGUGCCCAUUGUGUGUCUUUUAUAUCUAUUAUUUUAUACUUUUCUCAGUCGACCUAUGAUACCUACAGAGUACAAGUGGACAAUACUCAUUUCUAUUUCAUCAUUUCAGUGUAGAUCCAGGUACGAGUGCACUACAUGGUAGCUAAUUCGGAUGGUGCUGUGAGUAUUUUUGAGGUAUCGGUUGGUCUGUGCUUCAAUAUUUGAUCUACUACCUCUGCUUACUAGUUCACAUCUUUUUUUGUGUUUAGAGACAAAUUAUGUUCCUUUUUGGACUAUCAGUUUGUAUAUUUUUAUUUCGAGAUGUACUUAGUUGGUUCUUACACUAUGACACCAUAUUUUGGGAGAUUUAUGGCAUCUUUCUUAUGUAUUUUUCUGCUAUUAUGGUAUAUGUGUGGUUUGGAUUCAUUUUAGAAGCCUUGCCUUAGGUUUUGGCAUUAUUUACUCAUUUUAUACCAGUUUGGAUGAUAUGCUUACUUGCCAUGAUUUUCCGCAACACGUACCAUCCCAACCUUUGAAUUUUAGGUUGUGACACGAAGUGUAGAAGACAGUUAGCUCACACUGCAAGGAUUUGUACAUGAUCGCAUCUAUGAAAGUGGAUAACUAUGAGGUGGUGGAGUGAAACCUUCCAAUGACCUCUUCGGACCUCUCACAUUGAGUUGCCCAAUUCUAAAUUAAGCCUGAGAUUAAGAGACAUAAAAAAGGAGCUUGCAAAAGGCAAGUAUGGAGAAAGCUACAGACCUUGAGAGUAUGCACUCAAGAGUUCAAAACGAAUAAGAAUAUGGGGUUCGAGUAAGAGGAACAGGAUGUAAAAAUAUGGUUGAGAAUGGUGUGAACCAUGCCGCGAUAAUAAACUAGGCAUUGCUUCCGGGGAAUCCCAACUUAAGGUAGGUAUUUUAUUUUCUUAGUUUUAUUUAGUAUCACCUUUCUUUUUAUUUAUGUUUGAGUCAUGGGAUAAAGGGAAGUUUUAUUACAAGAAAUCCAAGCUAAAGAGCACAACAAAGACUGAGUAUAGGGUCCUUCGGACCUCUUUGAUAAUUUGGAUGCGACUAGCUAGGCUGGAGGCUAAAAGAAGUAGUUCAAUCCUUACUUCUAAUUUUUACUUUAGGGACAGAGUGUAAUUUUAAGUUUGGGGUAGGGAAUCUUCUGAUUCUUUAAGGUGAAGCGCUUCUAUAGGACUUCCAUUCUUAGUUAUUUUCUAGUUUUUGACUAAAUUUGAAAAGUUACAAAAAGAUUUUAUUUUUAGUUAUUUUCAGUUUUUAUUGGUGUCUAGUAGAAGCACACUUCACCCACACCUUGAUUUUUAUUUUUGGUUAUUUUAUGAGGGGGUGAUGGUCACGACCGAUGCUACCCCUAGUCACGACACAGUGCUUAAGGCAAUAAGUGAUUCCAAGAUAACCCAUGAUCUAGUACAUGCUGUGAGCACUAAAUAAAAUAAUAUGGAAACAUCAUGAGCGGAAGAUAAACUGAUAAUUUUCUAAUAUAAUAUAAUAUUGAAAUCUAAACCAACAUGUCUGAAAUAACUGAGUAGACUAAAGAUUACGCUGCUUGUUUGAAAGACUUUAAAACAUAAGAAGUUGAUAGGACAAACCCCCAACUAACUCUGACUAUCUGAGAUAUAGAAAGUAUUGAAAAUAACUAAAGAAAACAUAUUGUCCUUAAUGAAUGAGGACUCACCACUAAUGUGGCUGAGAGGUAUUGAGCUGUCUAAGAAUAAUCAGGGGACCUUGCAUCUGUACCUAUGUUAUAAGACAACAUAUCUCAAAACAAGAGUAUGCAAUUAGUACUUUGAAUGUACUGGUAUGUGAGGUAAGGACUAACUAGACAUAUAUAAGGAAGCUAAACAUGGAUGCAUGAACAUAUAAAAAUGAGAAUCCAAGACCAAGUAAAGUAUGAACUGAAAUAAUUUAUAAAAUUGACUGACUGAAUAGCUGGUAAACUGAAUACUUAGUCAUGCAAACCUAAGAUGAUACAAUUCGAAUACUGAACUGAAAUAAAACUGUAGGAGUUAUCACAUAACCGACAUGACCCAGUUUGAUCUAAUAAGGGUCCAACCUAUAACCCAAUUGGAAGAGGGUGUCAGUACCUUGGUACGAAUACUAAUAUUGACUUAUGGAUCGACUAAAUUGAUGUCCCAAAGGAUAAUGGCGUCAUUCCUCUAUUGGCUGGUGACCCUUAAAAGAAUGGCAUUCCUAUACCAGUAGGUAACAUCUCAUAACCUAUGCAGUGUACGUAGUUCUAGAACUUAGGGAUUGCUACUAAAGGUCCCAAUACUCUACCAGUGGGUGAUCCUUUAUCACUAGGUUCACUCAGUGCUAAAUCCUACUCCCAACUGAACAGACACUGGUAUUGAUUACUGUUAACUGAACUCAUAACUGAUAGUGCUCAACAUAAUCAUUACACAACUGAGUAUGAUAAUGGAAUUUAUGAUUUGACUAUCUUAGUACUUGAAAAACUAAAACAUAAGUAAACACAUAGGUAUUGUGUGUUCAUAACCUUCCAACACUUAAUAUACUGAAAUACGAUAAUAACACUUAAAACAUUGGUAGAAAGACAUAAUUUAGAGACCCAAAAUACAAUACAUUUCAAUGAAUGACUGAGCUACAUGAAUUUGAAUAUGGGGAGGUGUUAAACUUGUGAGAAUAACAAUUUCACAUGGUUUAAUUCAUAACUUGAUUAUUUGACAUGGGAUCAAUUGAAAAUGAUAUAGGUAAUUGCAAUUCAAAGUAUGAAAUAACCUAAUUUACAUAGGAAAACAUUUUGACAUGGCUUGAAUUUAAAUUUCUAAAACAACAUGGAUUAAAUUCAUAUUUAGCAUGGAUAAAUUUCACAAAAGAGGAUAAAAUUCAUAGUUGAACCAAAAAGGGAUUUCGACUCAAUCAUUGGAAAAAACCCAUUAACGAAUACCCCACACACCUCAAUUGGUUGAAUUCUUGUAGAAAAACUUUAAAUUGGAGUUUGAAUGCUAGAAUUCUUGGGGUGACACUUGAAAUUAUGUUCUUGGGUAAAAGGGGAAUAAGUUUUCGUAUAAUAACUGGUAAAGAAUGGGGAAAUUGAUGCCCUUUUGUGUUAUAAAUCGUGGAUUUGGUCUUUUGUGAUGAGGGGAAAUACUAAAAUUCCCCUCAUUAACUUAGUGAAAUUUCUUAGAAAACAUAACCUCUGUGGCACGGAGGUUAUCACGGAGGCUAACAUGUGUAUCACAAACCUUACCGCGGAGGUCCUACCUCCAUGUCAUGGAGGUUAUCAUGGAGACUAACCUUUGUGGCAUGACUAUAUUAUAGAGGCUUACUGCCUAUGGGAUCUGUAAUUACCCCAAACCACAUUUGAAAAUUCCAAAACUCUUUCAGGAUACCCUUUUAACAUCCCUAAACAUGUUUCAACUCAAAAAUCAACGAUUUGGAUUUCGGAAGUCCCCAAAUAAAUUCCUUGAAAUCUUAAGGUAUAAAUAACUAAGUCCACUAUACUCGGUGUAAAAUUCAUCCCUUGGACCCCUUAAACAUACCACUAGGAGUUGGAAGCGAUCCUAAGAUCUUAUGAGGUAUUACAAUAUCUCCCAUUUGGGAUCAUUCAUACUUGAAUGAAACUCGUUAAGAUGAGAUACUAAGAAUACUGAGAUCAUACACUUAAUACUUAGAAGUUGAAUCAUGAUUAAAUAACUAAGUCUAAAACAUAAUACAUGGACUGAACUGAAUUCAUAAAUGCAUACAACGACAAGAGGAUAUUUAUAUAGCUGAAAUAUAAAAUGAGAGAAUCACUUAAGGAAAACAUUAACUCACGCUAAGAAACGAUGGGGAUACUUAACUCACAUAUUUGUUUCUUCUUCCCAUGUUGAUCCCUCAACGGACUGAUUUCACCAUAUAAUCUUAACCAAGGGAACUUCUUUAUUCCCCAGCCUACAAAUAUGAUGAUCAAGGAUCUCAAUUGGGACUUCUUAGUAUGAGAGAACAUCUUUGACAUCCACACUGUCUAAAGGAACAACAGAAUCUGAAUCAUCAAUACAUUUCAUUAGCAAGGAGACAUGAAAUAGGAGAAGCACUGAUUUCAAAUCUACAUGCAAUUCUAAUGGAUAUAAGAGAUUGUACACUUCAUACUUAGAACUGAAUCUGAAUUAAAUAACUAAGUCUAAAACAUGAUACAUGGACUGAACUGAAUUCAUGAAUACAUGCAAUGACAAGAGGAUGGUUAGAUAGAAGAAAUAGAAAAUGAGAGAAUCACUUAAGAAAAAACAUUACUUUACGCUAGAUCUGAAUUCAUAAAGAAAAUAUGGGGAUACUUAGCUCAUAUAUCUGUUUCUUCUUCCCAAGUAACUCCCUUAACGAACUAAUUUUGCCAUUGAACCUUAACCAAGGGAACUUCUUUGUUCCUCAACUAACGAAUCUGAAGGUCAAGGAGCUCAACUGGGACUUUUUCAUAUGAGACACUUUCACAUCCACACUAUCUAAAGGAACAAUAGAAUUUGAGUCACCAAUAUAUUUCAUUAGCAAGGUGACAUGAAACACCAGAUGCACUGAUGCCAAAUCAACAUGCAACUAUAAAUCAUAUGCUACCUUCCCAUAAAGGCUCAAAAUCCUGUAUGGACUAAUAUAGCGAGGACCGAGCUUCCCCUAUUUUCCAAAUCUCUUCACCCCUUUCUUAGGUGAUAUUUUCAAAUAAACCAAGUCGUCAACAUCAAAUUCAAGAUCUCUUUUCCUUAUAUCUUCAUAAUAUUUCUGACAACUCUAGGCUAUCUUUAGCCUCUUUUAAAUCAAUCAAACUUCCUCCAUCACCUCAAAAACUAAAUUUGUCCCUAUCAAAGCAACCUCACCUACUUAAAACCAAAUAAUGAAAGAUCCAUAUCUUCUCCCAUAGAGAGCCUCAAAUAGAGCCAUAUAAAUACAAGAGUGAUAGUUAUUAUUGUAGGCAAACUCAAUCAAAGGUAAAUGGUCAUCCCAACUACCCUUGAAGUCAGUAACAAAAGCCCUCAAUAUGUCCUCUAAGGUCUGAAUGGUCUCCUCUGCCUAACCAUAGUUCGAAGGAUAAAAUAGCCAACUGAGAUGCACUUAGGUACCAAGACCCUUCUAGAAAGCCUUCCAAAAAAGAGAGGUAACCUGAUUAACUCUAUCUAAAAUAAUGGUCAAUGGAUUUCUAGCAACUUUUCCAACUCCUGAGAUAGGGCCUAACAUCAGUUGAGCAUAAAGUAUGAACUGGCAAGAAAUGAUCUUACUUGGCCAUUCGGUCUAUAAUGACCCAUAUAAAAUCAUGAUGACAAUGCAUUUGAGGAAACCCUAUCACAAAAUCCAUAUUCAUUACUUCCCACUUCCAGGGGGUAUUCUAUACUCCUAAAGUAUACCACUAGGCCUUCAUGGCCAACCUUAACCUACUGAUAAUCCUCACACUUAGCCACAAACUCUGUAAUAUUAUUUUUUCAUACCACUCCACCAUUGAUUUCCCACAAAUCACGGUACAUCUUAGUGGCUCCUUGGUGAAUAGAAUAUCACAUACCAUGUACCUCAGCUAAAAUUCACUACCUUAGACUGUCAACACAAGAAAUACAUAGUCUUCCUUGAUAAUGAAAUACACUAUCCUCACUUGGGAGAAUACCUCAACCUUCUAAUCCCUGACUAUCUCCUUUAACUUGACAAAAAUAAUACCCCUGUCUUUCUUUUCUUUUACUUUUCUACCAAUGAGGAUUCCGAACCAUUCUGAACCCAUAAACUACCUUUAGCUAAAUCAACCAACUGAACACCUAACCUAGCAAACAGAUGUACUUCAACAAACACCUCCUUCUUAUCUUUCUCAACAUGUGCAACACUUUUCAUAGAUAAUCUACUAAGGGAAUCAACCACUACAUUGGCCUUACCGAUCAACACACUUAUAUCACUGUCUUUUAACAAUUCAAGCUAGCUUCUAUGAUGAAGAUUAAGUUCUUUCAGUGUGAACACAUACAAUAACAAUUAUUAUCCAUGAACACAUAACCAUGAACCCCAUAAAGGUAAUUUCUCUAAAUCUUUAAGGAAAAGAAAACUCCUACCAACUCAAGGUCUUAGGUUUGGUAAUUUUUCUCAUGGAGUUUAAUAUGUCUAAAGUCAUAGGCUAUGACCUUACAUCACUGCAUUAACACAUACCCAAGACCAACUCUAGAAGAAUUAUAGUAUACCAUAAACCCAUCUAUUCCAUCUGGCAAAGUCAAGACUAGAGCGGAUAUUAGUCGAGUCAUUAUCUCUUGAAAACUCUUCUCGUAGAAAUCUGACCACUAAAAUUUAACUUUCUUUUGGGUUAUGUGAGACAUAAGAGAAGAAAUAAAAGAAAAUCCUUCAAAAAACCAUCUAUUGUAACCAUCUAAACAAAAUAAAUUUCUAAUAUCUGAUGAAGAGAUGGGUCUAGGCCAGUAUCUUACUACUUAGGUCUAUUAAAGAUCAACUUGAAUGUUAUCACCAAAAAUAAUGUGACCAAGGAAAUCUAUUGAUCUCAACAAGAAUUUUUACUUAUUGAACUUAGCAAAAAACUAGCGAUCCUUAAGGAUCUACAAUACAACCUUAAAUGGUCUUCAUAAUCACUCUCACUAUGGGAAUAGAUAAGAGUGUCAUUAGUGAAGACUAUGACUAACAUGUCCAAGUACUGCUUGAACAACCUGUUCAUCAAAUACAUAAAAGUUGUAGGGGCAUUCGUUAGUCCAAAAGACAUAACUAGGAAUUCAAAGUGACCAUACCAAGUCCUGAAGGUUGUCUUUUGAGUGUCACAUUCUCUAACUCUAAGCUGAUGAUAGCCAGCUCUAAGGUCUAUCUUAGAGAAAUAGCUUGCACCCUAAAGUUGGCUGAAUAUGUAAUCAAUUCUAGGGAGAGGAUAAGUAUUCUUAAUUGUAACUACGUUCAAUUAAUGGUAGUCAUUGCAUAUUCUGAGAAAACCAUCUUUCUUGCACAUGAAAAGAACUGGAGCACCCAAUGGGGAAAUACUAGGAGGGAUGAAACCCUUAUCUAAAAGAUCUUCAACUAUUUCUUAAAUUCCUUAAGCUCAGUUGGAGCCAUUAUGUAAUGUGGAAUAGAGAUAGGCUGGAUACCUAGCAGGAGAUAUAUUCUAAAAUUAAUUUCCAUUUCGUGAGGAACUCCAGGAAGAUCUUCAGAAAACACAUCUAUAAAUUCAUUCAACACUAGAACCAACUCAAGACUCAAAGUUUCAAAAUUUGAGUCCUUGACACAAAUGAGAUGGUAUAUACAUCCCUUUGAUAUUAUAUUUUUAGACUUAAGAUAGGAGGCAAAUUGACCCUUAAGCACAAAAGCACUACCCCUCAAUUCAAUAACUAUUUCAUUAGGAAACUGGAAUAGAGCAAUUUUAUUUCUACAAUCAAUUGAGUUAUAGCAUGAGCAGAUCCAAUCCAUGCUGAGAAUGACAUCAAAAUCAUUCAUCUCUAACUCCACCAAAUCAACUAAAGUAACUUUCUUAGAAAAUAUAAUCAGGUAAUUUCUAUAAACCCAUCUAACUACAAUAGACUUACCAACUAGGGAAGAAACUAAGAAAGGCUCUACUAGUGUUUCGAUACUAACAGUAAAGUCCAAAGCUAUAUAAGGACUUAUAAAAUAAAGUAAAGCUUUAGGGUCUAUCAAUGCAUAAAUAUAAAUAUGGAAGACUUGAAACGUACUCAUAACUAAUCAGCAAAAUUCUCCUGAUUAUUUCAAGUUUGGUAAGCAUAAAGGUGGUUCUGACGAUACCUACUGGUGGUACUUGAUGUGGCACCCUGCUGAGUUGGGUGACCUUUUGAAGCUGAUGAAAAGUUGGACUGGCCCUAUUGAAACAAAUCCUUUCUACUCUGAACAACCACUAAAAAAUCCAUGAUUCUAUGUCAUAGUUGUUAAAUCCAAAACAUAUAUCACUACCCCCUUUGCAUUUACCUUGAUGAUUUUUACCACACUUCCAGUAAAGAAGAUUAGUGGAACUACUAUUCAUACUACAUUGAGACUUAGAACAUGUCGCUCUAUCCUGACUGUCCUUCCUAAACUAAGGCACUGGUGUACUAGUUAAAGAUUGGCAGGAGGUAAAAUUUUUUGGUAGAACUGAGAAUGGUUCUCGCCUUCAAACAUUGACUGAGAAAAGUUAAAUCUACUUAUUCUAGGCCUCUUAUUCUAGCUUUUCUUUUCCUUGAUCUUCUCCUUCUCAAUUGGCUAAGCAUGAACUAUCAGCCUAGAAAGGCCCAUCUCCUAAAUUAACAUGGUUGUCCUACACUCCUUUACUACACUAUCAGACACACCAGACACAAACUUGCUUAUCUUAAACCUGGAGUCGGGAACCAUAGUUGAAGAAUAUCUUACCAACUGAGUAAACUUAAGUGAGUAUUCCCACACACUCUGGUUACCCUAAUUAAGAUUUAUGAACUCUUGUACCUUAUUCUCGCUAUACUCAGUGGGAUAAACCUAUCUAUAAAGGUCAUGGCAGACUUCUCCUACUCUAUAAGCCCUGCCUUAUCACACCGGUCCUUCUUCCACUACAUAAACUAAGUAUGAGCUACUCCCUACAACUAGUAAGAAGCUAAGUCUGCACUCACUCAAAGUGACACCCAUGAUACCUGUAACUUUUUGCAUCUCUUCCAAAAACUUCUGCAGAUCCUCCUCAAACUUGAUCUAGAAAACAAAAGGGUAUUCAUCCAAGUAACGUAUCGAAUCAUGGAUAUAGUCAUAUUUAAUAAUGGAUUGAUUGGAGCAAUAGCCUACUAGCUAUUUUGGGUAGCUGUAAAUUGAGACAAGGCUAUGAAGGUGGCCUUGAGCUUAGUAUGGAAAACAAGGUCAUACAUGGGAUCUUCCUAAAUAGGUGGUAGUGCAGGAUGAUAUCCAUUCCUUAUUACAUUAUUUCUUCUUAGAGGCAUUUUCUGUAAAUGAAAUAGUGGAUUAGUUAUAAAAAGGGAAUUUAAUAGAGCUAAUGCUCUUUUGCACGUCAUGAAUGAAAGAAGGGAAACUUACCAAAAAACUUCUCAUAGCCUCAUGCCCAUAAGUAUGGUUCUCUUAACACACAUGCAUAAGAAUCUACUCAAUAUGGAUUUAAGACACCCUAGGACACUUUAAAACUUUAGGCUCUAAAAUAAAGUUUUGUCAUGACUUGAGGCUUCCCUCUAGUCACGACAUGGUACUUAAGGCUACAAGUGACCCCAAGCUAACCCAUGAUCUGGUACAUAUUGUGAGAACUGAAUAAAAUAAAAUUGAAACAUCAUACGUGGAAGAUAAAUGGAUAAAGUUCUGAUAUGAUAUGAUAUAGCACUAAAAUAUAAACCAAUAUUUCUGAAAUAAUUGAAUAGACUAAAAAACUAGACUGCAGUCUAAAAGCCUCUAAAACAUAAGGAGUUGAUGGGACAAAUCCCCAACUAACUCAAAUUAUCUAAGAUAUAGAAAGUAUUAAAAAUAAAUUAAGAAAACAUUUGGUCCUCAUUGAAUAAGGACUCACCACUACUGUUGUUGAGAGGUAUUGAGUUGUCUAAGAAUAAUUAAGGUACUAUUCAUCCAAAACUAUAUUGUAAGACAACAUAGCAUAAAAGAAGAGUAUGUGAUCAAUACUUUGAAUGUACUCAUACGUAAGGUAAGGAAUAACUGGACAUACAUUACAAAAAUAAACACGAAUGCAUGAAUAAGUAAAAAUAAGAAUGCAUGACCAAGUAAAGGAUGUACUAAAAUAAUCUAUUAAACUAACUGACUGAAUAACUAAUAAACAGAAUCCUUCGUCAUGGAAACCUGAGCUGAUAUAAUCUGAAUACUAAACUAAACUAAAACUGUGGGAGUUAUUAUGUAACUGACAUGCCCUAAUCUGAGCUAAUCAGGGUUAAAACACCCUGGGUUUUUAGAACUAUAGAAAAUUUCAUAGAUUUUUAUUCUUUGGACAUCAUAUGACUAGGGGGUAUUAGUUAUAUGAUGGGGUACCAUUUGUAUAGUCUUGGUCGUAUGUUAACCAAUAUUGGCUGGUGGGUUUGAUUGGUUUUUAGUGUGGGUACAACUUGGGUGGGUACGAGUCAUAUGGUGGGUGAUGAUUCGUAUUGUUUAGUUUUUCUAUCACUCAAUCUGAAAUUUGGUAACUUAACUUGGAUCUGAGUACGAAUGGAUCACCAUGAGCCGCAAUAUUGGGUAUGAGUCAUACCAUGCACUUGUAUGGUGAAAAGUGUCCAAAUCCUCUUUGAUUUCCAUUUUAUGGCAGGUACGAGUCGAGGGUACAGGUCGUCUUAUAUGGUUGCAUAUUGUGCAAUGUUACGGUCCAAAGGGAGUCCUAGGGUAUGAGUAAUGGGUACCACUCGUAUGGUAGGAUACGACUGGUAUGGGGUGGUUAUACCCUCCUGCGGGAUUUUUAAAAAUUUAAGUAGGGGUAAUCUAUAAAUUUCCCUACUUAACCUCUUAAGGCCCCAUGAAAUAUAACUCUCUGGUUACAUCAUUUACCCUAAUAUUCUAAUCAUAAACACUUAGAAACUCUCAAAUUCUAUGGAAGGCUCUUGGUUUAAGAAAGGCUAGGACUUUAUCUAGAGGAUCGGCUUGUACGGGUGAUUUCUCUCUUUCGUCUUCAUAAUCUAAGGCAAGAUACUUCUCCCUCAUGGUUAGUUCCAACUAAAGGCAUAUUUUAUGAAUUAUUUUCAUGGCAUAAUUGUUUUAUGGUUUUGGGUUUUAAAUUAUAUGUUGGGGAUUUUGAUUUUAAAUGCUUGGUUAUGGUUUUACCAUGUUUUAAUUAUGGAUGUACAUACUUUAAUCGUGUCUUGGACAAUUGGUUGCAUGGAAAUGGUUAAUUGGUAAUUGGUUUUGGUGUUGGAAUCACUAUACCCCGACAUGUUUGAUAAAGUUCCUAUGAGAAUACUCUUACUAUAUUAUUAAACUUUUAAUGGAACUAUUGCAUGUUAUAACUUGGUAAUGGAACCUUAAAUGGCAUAAAUUGUUUAAAUGGUUUGGAAUGGUUAAAUGGUAAGGUCUUGGUGGUGAUGAUUAUAGUUAAUUAAACAUUCCUUGUGGGGUACGAGGAAAUCCCCAAAGUGGACCUAAUUAUAAACCACUUGUGGGGUACACGAGACUCCCCCGAGUCAACAUGAUAAUGAAACCUAUGGGUACAAAGAAAUACCUUAAUAUUUGAAAGGUUGGCUAAAGACAUUGCUUGCAAGCUAUAGUUGGUAUGAAGAUACCACUAUUUAUAUACUUAGUUAAUAACAAAUGGAAUGGUUGUCUUGGUUAUGUGGUAAUGGUUUUAAUUGGGUAAUAAUGGUGGGGUGUAAUUAUUAGCAAUGAAGGUGUUAGUCCAAUGGACGUACACUAGAAACUCAUGUUUUCCGCCAUGAGAAUUUGGUCAUGAUGACCAUAUGGGGUACAUGGCAAUCCCCUAAGUUACAUUUGUAUAUAUGCAUCAUAGAGCGCGAAGGAUACUUGGGAAUCCCCUACUCCUAUGGUAUCUUCGAUUCAUGUGGUUACACAAAUCGAGGCUCGAUCAGGGGGUAACACUUGACCCAUAUUUCCUGUGGGUGGUACUAGGAUGGUUAAGCUACACAUACCCAGGUUAAUGAUUUUAAAUGCAUGGUAAACCAAAUUUUCUUUCCUAACAUGAUUUUUAUAUAUAUACAUAUACAUAUAUAUCUACAUAUAUAGAUAGAUAGAUAGAUAGAUAGAUAUGGAUUUGUAUGCAUAUGGUUGGUUUACUAGGUUUUAAUGGUUUGCAUUAUUUUAUUCUUAUCUUGAGUACUUGUUAUUGUUUACCCGCUAACCCAUCUUCGGGCAUAUGUAUACUCACGCGAUUACUCCUACUUAGUGAUCAGAUUCAGGAUCAGCUAUGGGAUUAAAGUUGUGAGCUUCUAUAUUCUAGAAGCCUUUAUUUUAUAUCAUGGAUGUCUUUACAUACUUUUCGUCAUUUUAUGGAUAUUGGAUUUGGCUAUAGUUGGGGGCAUGUCCAAACCAAAUAUUGUUUUUCCUUUUAGUUAGUGUCUUUCUGGAACUACUAUGGGAUGGAAUGGGCAGUGUCUGUAUUUGUGUCCACCUUAAUUUUGGCAUUGGUAUUGGUUCUAACACCAUUUGACUGAAUUUAUGAUUGUUCCAUCCUUUUAUGUUAUGUUAUGAGCAGGAACUUAUUUUUUAUUUGUUUGGUUAUUGUUGUUGCUUUGUAUUAGAAGGUUGGACCUUUUUUUGUUUUUUCAUGGUUAUAGACCUAUCCCAGUGUCUUGAAUUGUAACAAAUGCUUCCUUGUUAUACUAUCGGAAUUCAUCCGACUCAAGGUAUAUGUAUUUUGACAUUACGUUGGGUAACAGGGGUAUUCUCCGAUCCUAGUUUGACUUGGGAUGUCCAUUAUGACAAGGCCUUGGUUUGGGUCAUGUAAAGUUGGUAUUAGAUCUUUAGGUUCAUAGUCAAUAGGUAAUCCACAAAAACAUGUCAAGUAGAGUCUCUUUUAAAGGUGUGUAGUGCGCCACACUUAUAAGGGAGAGGCUACAAGGCUUUAGGAAAUGUUUCUCUUCUUUGUGUUCUAUUUUCAAGCUUAGAUUCUAAGUUCUAGAAUCUUCUCUAAUUCUGUUGAAUCACUUCUCAAAUCAUUCCUUAAUGAUAUGAAGUUCACAAAAACUCCUCUAUCCCAACUAGGGAGAAUAUUGAUGGGACACGCUCUACUCAGGGGAUCCAUACUCGGUCUAGGUUCCUGUCCCUGAUAUUCUAGAGUUCUAAUGGUUCCUUCUAGUGUUCCUCAAGCUUAAGUAAUGAAUUUUAAGUUUUGUCAGUCAAUUCAUAUAAUUUCUCAGUUAGUAGUUUCUUAGUCUAAGCGCGGUGCAUAUAGUAUUGCAUUGUUUGAGGCCACAAGGGUUGGCCAAUUCAUGAAGAUGAGUUCUCUAACCUUUACUAGCAUUAAGGUAGAGUAUGAUCCUUAGGGUUUUUGGAUAAGAUGGAAAAGAUUUCUUAGAUUAUGCUGCCAUGAAUAUUGAAGGGCUUGAGUUUGCUUCUUAUUAGCUCAAAGAUAUAGCAUACCAAUGGUAUGAGAAAUAGGAUAGGGCAAGGGGUGAUGUUAUAAAAUCAUCCUUAUGGGAGACUUUCUCCAAUGUAUUUCUAAACUACUCUUUCCUCAAGAUCUGAGGGAAGCAAAAGUGGAGGAAUUUAUUAAUCUGAAAUAGGGAUAUUUAUCAAGGAGUAUGCCUUGAAAUUUUACCAGUUGUCAAGGUAUGCUCAAGAAAUAGUAACUGAUGAAAAUGCUUGGAUAAGAAAGUUUGCAUUGAGACUGUCUCAGGAUUUGAUCCUUGAAAUCAAGACUGCAUUACUGAUUGGGGACAUGGAUAUAUAUAGGUUAGUUGUUUAUAUUCAAUAGGUAGAUAAGAAAAGAAACAAGUUGAGAUAGGUGAAUGGAAAGGUAAGAGGUUUUUUUUAUCAAAGUAGUGGUCAAUAACAAAGUUUUCCUAAUGAUGGUAAGUGGCCAAAGAAGUAGGGGAAUUUUGAUUCCUUCUCCAUAUCUAGUACUCCUUACCUGAAUCAAUUGGGUGAUAGACAUAAUUAUGGUGGCAACAGCUUUAGGGAAUAGGGUUCCUAAUCUUAGGAAAGUAAGGCACAGACGGCUUUAUUGUGUCCUCUUAAAAGGUUCUACAGUCGGUUGAAUAGGGGUUACUAUGAUGAGAGAAGGGACAGGUGUUUUAAAUAUAGUUAGCCAUCCAUAUGCUUAGAAACUGUCUGGUUGGUAAGGUUUCUUUAGGAGCAAAUAAGGUUUCGGUUGCCUCUUCAUCUACUGCUACGCUGAAGGGUAUUAUUGCUUCUACAUCUAUUUCUGCUUUAGGUAUCAAUAUAGGUCGGAAUAGGUUUUAUGCUCUUGCUACUUGAUAGGAAUCUGAGGCGUCACUGAUGUCAUGGCUCGUACGUUACAACUUUUUUCUCAGGAUGUUUAUUAUUUACUUAAUCCACGAUUUACUCCCUCUUAUGUGACCCCAUUUGUUGUUGUGCAUUUUGAUUUUGAUCUCAAGGUUAUUUCAGAUAUUUUUUCUAUUUCUACCCGGAUAGUUGACUCUCUAGUUGCUCAAAGAGUCUAUACGAGGUAUGUGGUAUUUGUUGCUAGUAAGGAGACUUUGGUGGAUUUGUUUGAAUUAGAUAUGGUGGAUUUUAAUGUUAUCCUGGGUAUGGAUUAGUUACAUUCGUGCUAUACAUCACUAGAUUGUCAAACCUAUUGGGUUAUUUUUACAUUCCCUAGUGAACUAACUGGUUAUUGAAUGGAAGGGUGAUUCCUUAGCUCCUAAUGGGAAGUUUAUAUCCUAUCUUAGAGCCCAGAGAUUAAUCUCCAAGGGGUGUCUCUAUCAUCUAGUCUAGGUUAAAUAUUUUAACUGAAAAGGUCCUUCUUUGCAUUGGAUUUCGAUGGGGAAUGAGUUUCCUGAGGUUAUUCUAGGUGAUCUUCCUGAUGUUCCUCGAGAUAGGGAGAUUAAGUUUGGGAUAUAUUUGGCUUCGGACACACGUCCAAUAACUAUUCCUCUUUAUAGAAUGGCUCUGACUGAGUUGAGGCAACUUAAGGAGCAACAUAAGGAUAUCUUGGAUAAGGGUUUCAUCCAUCCUAGUGUGUCCCUUUGGGGUGCACCAACAUUAUUCAUGUGCAAGAAGGAUGGUUCCUUUUGGAUGUGUAUUGACUAUAGGCAGUUGAAUAUGGUGACGGUUAAGAACAAGUAUCCUCUCCCAAGGAUAAAUGACUUGUUUGAUCAGUGGCAAGGUGCAAAAUUCUUAUCCAAGAUAGAUCUUUGGUCUUAGUAUCAUCUGCUUAAUAUUAGGUAGGUGAAUAUCCAUAAGACAACUUUCCAUACUAGAUAUAGGAACUUUGAGUUCUUCGUGAUGUCAUUUGGUUUUGCCUAAUUUUGUGGUACCUAUAAUGGAUUUGAUGAAUAGGGUAUCCCAUAAGUUUCUGGAUUUUUUGUCAUUGGUUCACCGAUGAUAUCCUGAUAUAUUCUAAGAGCAAGGUGGAUCAUGCCAAUUACCUUCGUGUGGUGUUGCAGAUAUUGAAAGAGCAGCAGUUGUAUGGAAAUUAUGUAAAUGUGAAUUUUGGUUGAUCGUUGUUACUUUUCUUAAUUAUAUUAUUUCUAGUGGGGGAACAAUGGUGGAUCCACAAAAAGUGGUGGUGGUUAAGAAGUGUCCUAGACCCAUAACUUUAAACGAUAUUCGGAGCUUCACUGGGUAUUAUAGGAGGUUUAUGGAAAGUUUCUUGAUGAUAACUGCUUCAUUGACCAAGUUGACUCAUAAGAUGGUAAAGUUUUUUUGGUUGGAUGCCUCUGAAGGUAGUUUCGAAGAGAUGAAAGAGAAGAUAAAUUUGUCUCUAUUUUUGAAUUUGUCUGAGGGCAAUAAGGGGUUUGUCGUUUACUGCGAUGCAUCCUGGGUGGGACUUAGUUAUGUUUUAAUGCAGCAUGGUAAGGUGAUUGCUUAUACCUUUAGGCAGUUGAAAGUGCAUGACAAGAAUUAUCCUGCUCAUAAUUUAGAAUUGUUAGUUGUGAUUGUUGCAUUGAAGGUCUGGACACUAUUUGUAUGAAGUGCAUGUAGAUAUCUUCUUGGAUCAUAAAAGUUUGCAGUAUUUAUUUAUUCUGAAGGGGUUUAACCUCAGGCAGAGGAGAUGGCUUGAGCUUCUCAAGGACUAUGACAUGAGUCUUCACUACUAUCUAGGUUAGGAUAAUGUUAUUGCUAAUAUUCUUAGCAGGUUGUCCAUAAGGAGUUUAGCUUUUGUGGAAAAGGAGAAGCGGGAGUUGGUGAAUUGUAUUCAUCGCUUGGCUAAUCUUACAGUUUUUCUUUUGGACUCCAAGAAUGGUGGUAUAUUGGUACAGGAAGUGGUUCAGUCGGCUCUUGGUGCAGAGAUCAAAAAGUAAAUGCUAGAUCCUAUCUUGAUAAAAAAACAAGGGUGAUAUAGGUGGGCAAAUGUUAAUGGUAUUUGAGAUCAGUGGUGAUGGUACCUUGUUGUACCAAAGGUGAUGUCGAUGGUUUGGGACAAAGGAUAUUAUUUGGGGUGCAUGAAUUGCUCUACAUUGUUCAUCCUAAUUCAAUGAAAGUGUAUCAUAAUCUCAAGGAGAUGUACAAUGGUAUAAAAAAGGAUGUGGCUAAUUUUGUGGCCAAGUGUUUAGUGUGUUAAAAGGUGAAAGUUGAGCUCAUACGGCCUGGUUGAUUAUAUCAAGGAAUGGAUUUUUUGAAAUGGAAAUGGGAGGUGAUCAAUAUAGAUAUCGUUACCGGUUUUCCUCAGUUUCGAAAUCAAUUUGAUUCAAUUUGGGUAAUUGUAGAUAGGAUGACAAAUUCGUCUCUUUUUUCUAGUAAGGACUAACUUUUUGGUGAAGGAUUAUCUGAGGUUGUAUCUUCAUGAGAUUGUGAAGCUAUAAAGGGUACCUAUUUCUAUUAUCUUUGAUCGUGGUAUGCAAUUUUCAUCUCACUUUUGUCAGUCAUUUUAGAAGGGGUUGGGUACUAAGGUUAGUCUGAGUAUUGUUUAUCACCAGCAGAUAGAUGGGCAAGCAGAAAGGACUAUUCAUACAUUUAAAGAUAUGCUUCAUGCAUGUGUGAUUGAUUAUGGCGGUAAUUGUAUUGAAUGUCUACCUCAUGUAGAGUUUGCUUACAAUAAUAGGUAAUAUUUCUUUGAGGCAUUGCAUGGUAGGAGGUGUAGGUCUCCUAUUGGGUGGUUCGAGGUUGGUGAGGCGGCUAUGUUUGGUCCAAACUUGGUUCAUCAGGCUAUGGAAAAGUUGAAGGUGAUUCGAGAUUGGCUUAAGGUUGCUCAAAGUUGCCAAAAGACCUAUGUAGAUGUAAGGCAUAGAGACUUGGAGUUUGAGUCUGGGGAUACGGCGUUCCUAAAGGUGUCUCCCAUGAACGGAGUAAUGUGGUUUCAUAAGAAGGGGAAGCUCAGUCCCUGGUAUAUUGGUCCUUUUGUGGUUUUGAGCAGGGUUGGUAAUUUUUCUUAUGAAUUGUAAUUGCCUUCUAGUUUGAGCUCCAUUCAUUCGGUAUUUUAUGUCUCUAUGUUGACAAAGUUUUUUGGUGAUCCUUGUUUAGUUAUUCCUUUUGAAGGAUUAGGCAUUUAAGAUUCUCUGUCUUAUGAAAAGAUCUCGAUUGAGAUCUUAGAUUGGUAGAUUCAUCGAUUACGAACAAAGGAUGUUGCCUCGGUUAAUGUUGUAUGGCGGAUCUAUAAGGUGGAAGAGGCUAGUUGGGAAGCAAAAGAGGACACUUCAGUAUCUGCACUUGUUUUUUGCUUUGGAAGUUCGUCCAGAAGGUAUGUGUUGUUGAUCACAUCUUUUUUUCUAACUUAGCUAAAGGCUAGAUUGAUUUUUUAUAAUGCAAUGACUCAUGUUUUUGCUUACCCUACCCAUCAUUCGAGGACGAAUGAUCCUAGUGUGGGAGACUGAAACACCCCAAAUUUUUGGAACCUUAGAAAAUUUCCUAGAUUUCUAAUUUCUGGACAUCAUACGACUAGGGGGUACUAGUCGUAGAUGGGGUAUGGUUGGUAUGGUCUUGGUCGUAUGUUAACCAGUAUUAGUUGGUGGGUUGGAUUAGUUUCUAGUAUGGGUACGAAUUGGGUGGGUACGGGUCUUAUAAUGGGUGACAGUUCAUAGGUUUGGUUUUUCCAUCACUUAAUCUAAAACUUGUUAACUUAACAUUAAUCUGAGUACGAAUGGCACACUAUGAGCCGUAAGAUAGGGUAUGAGCCGCUCCAUUCACUUGCAUGGUAUAUAGUGUCUAAGUCCUCUUUGAUUUUUAUUCUGUGGUAGGUAUGGGUCAAGGUUAUAGGUCGUAUGAUUCAAUACGACUUGGCUUGGAUGUUCUUACGAUGGGCAGUAUUGGGGUCCAAGCAUAGGCCUAUGGUAUGAGUGAUGGGUACCACUCAUACGAUGGGGUACGACUGGUAUGGGGUCGUCAUACCCUCCAGUGGGAUUUUUAUACAUUUAAGUGGAGGUAAUCUGGACAUUUCCCAACUUAACCUCUUAAGGCCCCUCAACUUAUAACUCUCUUGGGACAUCAUUUAUAGUAAUAUUCUAAUCUUAAACACUUAAAAACUCUCUCAAAUUCUCUCUAAGCUCUUGGGUAAGGAAAGGCUAGAUAUUUCUCCCUCAUUGUUAGUUCCAACUAAAGGCAUAUUUUAUGAAUUGUUUUCAUAGCAUAAUUGUUGUAUGGUUUUAGGUUUUCAAUCAUAUAUUGGGGGUUUUGGUUAUGAAUUCUUGGUUAUGGUUUUCCCAUGUUUUAACUAUGGACUUACAUACUUUAAUGGAGGCUUGUACAAUUGGUUUCAUAGGAAUGGUUAAUUGGUAAUUGGUUUUUGUUUGGAAACACUAUGCUCCUACAUGUUUGAUAAAAUGCCUAUGAGAAUAUUUUUACUAUAUUGUUGGACUCUUAAUGGAACUAUUGCAUGAUAUAACUUGGUAAUGGAACCCUAAAUAGCAUAAAUGGUUUAAAUGGUUUGGAAUGGUUUAAUGGUAAGGUCUUGGUAGUAAUGGUUAUGGUUAAUUAAGCAUUCCUUGUGGGCCCUCCAAGUGAACCUUUUUAUAAAACACUUGUGGGGUACACGGGACUCCCUCCCAAGUCAACUUUAUAAUAAAACCUAAGGGUACAAGGGAAUCCCUUAAUCUUUGAAAGGUUGGCUAAGGACAUUGCUUGCAAGCUAUAGGCGGUAUGAUGAUACCACUAAUUAUAGACUUGGUUAAUAACAAAUUGAGUGGUAGUCUUAUUUAUGUGGUAAUGGUUUUAAUUGGGCAAUAAUGGCAAGGUGUGAUAGCUAACCGUGAAGGUGUAAGUCCAAUAGACAUACACUGGAAGCUUAUGUUUGUCGGUAUGAGGAUUUGGUCAUGAUGACCAUAUGGGGUACAUGGGAAUCCCCUAAGUUACACUUUUUUAUAUGUAUCAUGGAGAGCGAAUGGUACUUGGGAAUCCACUACUCCUAUGGUAUCUCCAGUUUGUGCGGCUACAUACAUCGGGGCCUGUUAGGGGUUACACUUGACCUAUAUAGCCCGUGGGUGGUACUAGGACGGUUAAGCUACACAUACCUAGGUUAAUGGUUUUAAAUGUAUGCUAAAAUUGGUUCCAUUUCCCGGCAUGUUUUAUAUACAUAUAUAUAUAUAUACAUACAUAUAUAUAUGUAUGUAUAUGUACGGAUUUGUAUGCAUAUGGUUGAUUUACUUGGUUUUAAAGGUUGUCAUGAUCUUAUCCUUAUCUUGAGUAAUUGUUAGUAUUUACUCGCUAACCCAUCUUUGUGUGGCUAUAUCCCCAUGCAAUGCAGAGACCGACCAUUCUACUACUCUUGCUUAGCGAUCAAACUCGGGAUCAGCUAUUGGAUUGAAGUGGUGAGCUUCCAUAUUUUGUAAGGCUCCAUUUCAUAUCAUGGUUGUCUUUACAUACUUCUGUCAUUUUAUGGAUAUUGGUUUUAGCUAUGGUUGGGGGCAUAUCCCAACCAAAUUUUAUUUUUUCCUUUUAUUAGUCUUUUUAGAAAUACUAUGGGUUAGAAUGGGCGGUGUCGGUAUUGGUGACAGCCUUACUAUUAGCAUUGGUAUUGGGGCUUAUACCAUCUGACUGAAUUUAUGAUUGUUCUAUCAUUUUGUAUUAUAAAAAUAAACUUGUUUUUGUAUUAUUUUGGUUAUGGUUGUUGGUUGGUAUUGGACGGUUGGACUUGUUUGGGUUAGUCACGGUUAUAGACCUAUUCCACAGUCUAGAAUUUUAAUAAAGGCUACCUUGUUAUACAGUCAGAAGUCAUCCAACUCAGGGUAUACGUAUUUUGAGGUUAGGUUGGGUAAUAGGGGUAGUCUCCAGUCCUGGUUGAACUUGGGAUGCCCAUUAUGAGAAGGCCCUGGUUUGGGUCAUGUUAAGGAUCCAACCUAUAACCCUAGUUUGAUGGGUAUCAGUACCUUACCAUAGGUACUUACACUGGCUGUGUGGAUCCACUAAAUUGGUGUCCCAAAGGACUAGGGUGUUAGUACACUACUGGCGGGUAACCCUUAAAAGAAUGUCAGUCCUCUACUGGUGGGUGACAUAUCAUAACCUAUGAUGGCUAUGUAGUUCUAGAACUUAGAUAUUUCUACUAAAGUUCUUAGUCCUCUACUGGCGGGUGAGCUUUUAUCCCUAGGUUCGCUUGAUGCUAAUCCUACUCCCAACUUAACUGUCACUAGUAUUGAUUACUGUUAACUAAACUCAUAACUAAUAGUGCUCAGCAUGAGCAUAACAGAACUGACUAUGAUAAUGGAAUUAAUGAUUUAACUAACUUAGUACUUGAAAAUCUGAAACAUGAGUAAACACAGAGGUAUUGGGUGUUCAUAACCCUCCCGUGUUAAAUGAUACUAAAAUACGAUUACACCACUUAAAAAUUUAUAGAAAGUUAUAAUUCAGAGACCAAAACAAAAAUACAUUUCAAAGAAUGACUGAGAUACAUGAAUUUGAAAUGGGGAGGUGUUAAACUUGGGAGGAUAACAAUAUAUUAUGGUUUCAUUCAUAACUUGAUAAUUUGACAUGGGGUCAAUUGAAUAUGACAUGGGUAAUUGCAAUUCAAAGUAUGAAAUAACCUAAUUUACACAGGAAAACACGUUGACAAGGCUUGAAUUCAAAUUACUAAGAAAAACAACAACAUGGAUUAAAUUCAUAUUUAAUCCUGAUAAAUUUCACAAAAGAGAAUGCGCAUUCAUUUGAUCCUGAUCCUUGUGGAUCGAAAGGUAGACUAGACUGGACCUGCACGGCCCUCCUAAUAAUAUCCAUAAAUGAGUUGUUUUUGGUAAUAGAUGAACAUUACCGCAUGUAAAUUCUGGUGCAUGAUAGACACCGGUACUCCAGUGCAUUUCUCCAUCUGAAUCAGAAUAAAUAUGUUUUCAAACCUUCUCUUUAAAAUUUAAAGUGGAUAUUCCUGCGCGAAUAUCAGUAAUUACUUGUUCUGAUUCUACAUAUUGAUCGUUUUGAACUAAAAGCAAACUUUUGGGUGGAAUAUUCACAUUAUGUAGAAUAUCUUCACUCUCAAUAGUUACAUACAAGUCUAUAGAACAUAGAAAGGCGGGAUGCCCAUGACGUGUACGUAUCGAAUGAACCAAAUCCUCAUUGAAUUUUAUUUUUCCAUUAGAUGGGGCUCGCACAUGUUCUACAGUACCCCCCGUGAAUACUCCUACAGUAUGAAAAGUUCUUAAUAUUAAUUGAGUACCAGGUUCUCCAAUCGAUUGACCUGUAAUAAUACCUACAGCUUCCCCCAACUCAACCAGGUCGCCAUGAGUAGGACUCCGGCCAUAACAUAAUCGACAAAUCCAAGAUGUACUCCUACAAGUAAAGGGAGUUCGAAUAGAGAUUGGUUGUGCCCGAAAGGUUAUGAAUUGAUUUACAAGUCCAAUGCCAAUGUCUUGGUUUCUAGUGGCAAUACAUCGUGAACCCAUGUAUAUAUCAUCUGCUAAUACACGGCCAAUUAAUGUUUGACUAAAAAUCCUUUCCGGCAUCAUCUCAUUCCAAGGACUCACAGAAAUACCCCGGGCGGUGCCACAAUCCAUUCAACGAACAACAAUGUGUUGAACUACUUCAACAAGUCUGCGAGUGAGAUAUCCAGUGUCUGAUGUUCGUACAGCAGUAUCCACAACUCCUUUACGGGCUCCGUAGCAAGAAAUGAUGUAUUCUGUUAAAGAGAGUCCUUCGCACAAAUUGUUUUGAAUAGGUAAAUCAAUCAUUUGUCUUUGAGGAUCUGACAUUAAUCCUCGCAUACCUACUAAUUGAUGUACCUAAGAUGCAUUUCCUCUAGCUCUCAAGAAAGACAUUAUAUGAACUGGAUUAAAAGGGUCAGUCAUCAUAAAUUUCGAAUUCAUUUCUUGUCGCAAAUAUUCACUUGUAGCAUACCAUAUUUCAAUGGAUUGACGUAAUUUUUCUACCGUGUGUACAUUCCCAUAAUGAUGGUGUUUUUUCAAAAUCAAGCUUUGUUGUUCAGCAUCUUGAGCGAGCCAUCCCUUAGAAGGUAUUGUUAAAAGGUCAUCAAUUCCUAAUGAAAUGGAUGUAGCAGUAGCUUGUUGGAACCCCAGAAUUUUUACUUGAUCUAGGAUAUGUGAUAUAUAUGCCAUUCCGAAGUGCUCUAUUAAUCUACUAAUAAGUCAUUUCAUGGAAGUUCCGUCUAUCGCUUUAUUGUGAAAGACCAGAUUGGGCCGUUCUGCCAUAGGUACCUCUAUAUUUCGCUGAGUAGGAUUCGACAAUGGGUUUGAGUCAGUGAUUGUAAAACUUCCUUUUAUCGAUCUUGAUUCACGUAUAAAUUCUGAAACUAUGUACCUAGCUGAACCGAAGAACCCCAAAGUCCCACGGUAUCAUAUAAUUACGUUAGGUACCAUAUGAAUAGGCUCGAGAAAACCCCUAUAUAGCUUCUUUGAUUUCUCGAUAAAGAGCAAUAUGACCAACAGUGGUUUGAAUGUAUAUAAAAAGGAUUUGUUUUUGUAGACUUCUUACUAUUAGAUAGUGUCCAUAAAUCUCAUAAAAGAACCUAAAGAUUCAUAGUGAACUUCGAUGGGAGUUUCUCUUGAAGCAAUAACGCGGUUAUCUAGUCACCACCGGAGCCACAAAGGACUAUCUAAAUUGAUUCGUUUCUGCCGAUAAGCCCAAAUUGCAUCAUAGGAAUUCAAAAAAAGGGGUUCUUUCGUAUACUUAUAGUAACUAUUGUCACUUCUUUUUUGAUUUUGAUAGUUUCUGCAAUUAUAUGGAUUAUAUCUAUUUACACAAAUACCUCGAUGAUUUCCGCUCGUUAAUACAUAGAGUCCAAUAAGCAUAUCUUGGAUUGGUACGAAAAUGGGAUCCCCAAUAGUCGGAGACAAAAGAUUCAUAUGAGAAAACAUGAGUAAACAGGCCUCUACUUGAGCCUCCAAGGAUAACGGUACAUGAACAGCCAUUUUAUCUCCAUCAAAAUCGGCAGUGAAUCCCUUGCAAACUAAUGGAUGUAAGCAAAUAGUGCGCCCCUCCACUAAAAUGGGCUGGAAUGCCUGUAUGCCUAAUCUAUGCAGAGUGGGUGAUCUAUUUAGCAAUACAGGAUGUCCUUGCAUAACUUCUUGAAGGAUUUCCCAUACAAUCGGCUCUUUUUCUCGAAUUUUACUCUUAGCAACUCCUAUGUUUAAAGCAAGAUGUUUUCUAAUUAGACCAUGAAUUACAAAUGUCUGGAAAAGUUCUAUUGCUAUUUCAUGAGGCAAUCCACAUCGAUGUAAUGAAAGUGAAGGACCCACGCCAAUGACAGAACGUCCUGAAUAAUUAACUCAUUUUCCAAGUAGAGUCUCACAAAAUCUUCCCUCUUUGCCUUCAAUUACAUCAGAAAAUGACUUGUAAACUUUAUUAUGACCAUCCCUCAUUGGUUGUGCUCGGAUUCCAUUAUCAAGAAGUGUAUCCACGGCUUCUUGUACUAAUUUCUCCUGACACAUUUCUAAUUCUCCUAGAGUAGAUCUACUUGUUGUUAAUAGAUUGGUAAGGGUAUUGUUCUGAUAGAUAACUCUUCUAUAGAGUUCAUUAAUAUCUGAGCUCAUUAGUUUACCCCCAUCUAUCUGAAUGAUCGAUCUCAACUCAGGAGGAAGAACUGGUAAUAGACACAAAACCAUCAAUUCUGGCUCUAUAUUUGUUCGAAUAAAAUGCUUAGCCAAUUCCACGCAUCUAACCAAAAAGUCCUUUCUUCUUUCAACCUUUCGAUCUUCCCAUUCAUUCCCUGUGUGCCAUUCUUCCCCCAAUUCUUCCCAUUCCACCAACGAAUUCUCUAUAUAAUUCAUAAAUCUAGAUCAACUAAUUGUUCUCAGAUAGCACCUACACCAGUAGAGAUUUGUCGAUUGUGAAAUGUAUCGAAACCCUGGGUAGUAAAAAAAUUGGGAUGCUGUAUUUCCAAAACCUGGUAAAGAGCCGCCCGAUUUGGAUUUGUACAUAUAGGACAAAUGCUCUCAUUACCAUUUCUUUUUGUAUUUCUUUUUUUUUUUCAAUUCAUUUUAUACAAGUAUUUAUUAGAGUUGAGAUAACUUUGCUUGACAAUUAGGAUCUCUUUACAAAUUACAAAAAAAAAAUAUGAAUAGCAAUCAUAGAUAUCUUACCAAUCCAAUUGGGUUUUUUCUAAACGGAGCCUGGAUACUUCAUUUUUUUAGUCCAACCAAGCCAACCAUAAAUUAUUCUAAUUGAUAAUAGUAAUAUGAAUCCUCUCAAAAAUGGAUCUAAUUGCACUUCACGCUCCAAAUUUUUGAUGAUUUAAUUUAUCAUUUUAUCAUUCUUGGGCGAAAUGGGGGAUAUCUCGAUCAGGGGAGAGAACGGGGAAAUACCAUAUAACCCAAUAUAUCUGAUAAGUCGCACUAUAUGUCAACCCAAAGUAGAUUUGCCUCUCCGAGACCUCGAAAGGGAACUUUCGGAACACCAAUAGGCAUUAAAUGAAAGAAAGAACUAAAUACUAUAUUUCACUUUGAGGUGGAAACGUAACAAUUUUUUUACUGUACUUAGAAUAUUCAUAUUAGUUCUUAUCGUAUUUAUUUUAUCCAUAGAUUCUAAAAAUUCAUAAAGAAAGACAGAAUGAAUAAACUCAAAUUAUUACGAAUAGGUCUUUCUAAUGAUAAAUAAGUAUGGACUCAUUCGCUCAUAGAAAAUGAGAUCAACUCCCCCAUUGCGUAUUAGUACUUAUCGAGUAUAGAAUAAAUCUGCUUCUCUUUGUUCCUACGAAUAGAAUUGUUCUAUUAUUACCACCAGAAUAGCACACCCUUGAUUCAAAAAUAAUCGACUGAACAAGAGUGGUCCAUAGGAUAGUCAUAUUAUAGUCUUUUCCAAUGCAAUAAAGUUAUGGAGUAUUUAUUUAUCUUUGAUAUAAGGGGUAUUUCCAUGGGUUUGCCUUGGUAUCGUGUUCAUACCGUUGUAUUGAAUGAUCCCGAUUAGUUGCUUUCUGUUCAUAUAAUAGAUACAGCUCUGGUUGCUGGUUAGGCCGGUUCGAUGGCUCUGUAUGAAUUAGCAUUUUUUAAUCCUUUUGAUCCUGUUCUUGAUCCAAUGUGGAGACAGGGUAUGUUCAUUAUACCCUUCAUGACUCAUUUAGGAAUAACCAAUUCAUGGGGCGGUUGGAGUAUCACAGGGGGGACUAUAAUGAAUUCGGGUAUUUGUAGUUAUGAAGGUGCAGCGGGAGCACAUAUUGUGUUUUCUGGCUUAUGCUUUUUGGCAUCUAUCUGGCAUUGGGUGUAUUGGGAUCUAGAAAUAUUUUGUGAUGAACACACAGGAAAACCCUCUUUGGAUUUGCCAAAGAUCUUUGGAAUUUAUUUAUUUCUCUCAGGGGUAGCUUGCUUUGGUUUUGGUGGAUUUCAUGUAACAGGCUUGUAUGGUCCCAGAAUAUGGGUGUUCGAUCCUUAUGGACUAACGGGAAAAGUAAAACCUAUAAAUCCAGCGUGGGGCAUGGAAAGUUUUGAUCCUUUUGUUCCAGGAGGAAUAGCCUCUCAUCAUAUUGCAGUAGGAACAUUGUGCAUAUUAGCGGGCCUAUUCCAUCUUAGCAUCCAUCCACCACAACGAGUAUACAAAGGAUUGCGUAUGGGAAAUAUUGAAACCAUCCUUUCCAGUAGUAUUGUUGCUAUCUUUUUGUAGCUUUUGUUGUUGUCGGAACUAUGUGGUAUGGUUCGGCAACUACCCCGAUUAAAUUAUUUAGGCCCACUCGUUAUCAAUGGGAUCAGGGGUACUUCCAGCAAGAAAUAUAUCAAAGAGUUAGUGCUGGGCUAGCAGAAAAUCAAAGUUUAUCAGAAGCCUGGCCUAAAAUUCCUGAAAAAAAAUUAGCUUUUUAUGAUUAUAUCGGCAAUAUUCCGGCAAAAGGAGGAUUAUUCAGAGCAGGUUCAAUGGAUAACAGGGAUGGAAUAACGAUUGGAUAGUUAGGACACCCUAUCUUUAGAGAUAAAGAAGGGCGUGAACUUUUUGUACGUCGUAUGCCUACUUUUUUUGAAACAUUUUUGGUCGUUUUAGUAGACGGCGAUGGAAUUGUUAGGGUUAAUGCUCCUUUUAGAAGGGCAGAAUCGAAGUAUAGUGUUGAACAAGUAGGUGUAACUAUUGAGUUCUACAGCGGUGAACUCAACGGCAUCAGUUAUAGUGAUCUUGGUACUGUGAAAAAAUAUGCUAAAUGUGCUCAAUUGGGUGAAAUUUCUGAAUUAGAUCGUGCUACUUUGAAAUCCGAUGGUGUUUUUCAUAGUAGUCCAAGGGUUCAUUUACUUUUGGGCAUGCUUUGUUUGCUUUGCACUUCUUCUUCGGACACAUUUGGCAUGGUGCUAGAACCUUGUUCAGACAUGUUUUUGCUGGUAUUGACCCAAAUUUAGAUGCUCAAGUUGAAUUUGGGGCAUUCCAAAAACUUGGAGAUCCAACUACAAAAAGACAGGCAGCCUGAUACAACAUUGCUUUGGUAUCUUUCUUUUUCCCUUAUUUUCUUUCUUUUACUUUUAUUGACAUAGGGUACCAGAGAAAUCUUUAUUUGAAUCAACUUCGUUUUUACUCUUGUUCGUUCUUUAUCUGGAAGAUGAUAAAAAAAAGAAAAUAAAAAGAAACAAACAGGUAUGAAAGCUAUAAUUGUAAACCACGAUCGAAUCUAUGGAAGCAUUGGUUUAUACAUUCCUCUUAGUCUCGACUCUAGGGAUAAUUUUUUUCGCUAUCUUUUUUCGAGAACCGCCUAAAGUUCCAACUAAAAAGAACUAAAAAGGGGAAUGAAUUUUUCAUUAUCUCAGUUGAAGUACUGACCCUCCCGAUAUCGGGAGGCUUAGUACUUCAACUAAUCUCCAUGUUCCUCGAAUGGAUCUCUUAGUUGUUGAGAAGGUUGCCCAAAAGCGGUAUAUAAGGCAUAUCCAGUAAAACUUACAAGUAAACUAGAUAUAAAGAUGGCGACUAGGGUUGCUGUUUCCAUUCUUAUCAUAUUUAUAUAAUUUCAAGACCCCAAUGGAUUAUGAUAGGAUCAUUUACUUACAACGGAAUGGUAUACAAAGUCAGCAGAUCUCAAUGAAUACUAUAGGAUUUAUGGCUACACAAACUGUUGAGAACAAUUCUAAAUCUGGUCCGAGACGAACUGUAGUAGGAGAUUUAUUAAAACCAUUGAAUUCGGAAUAUGGUAAAAUAGCUCCUGGGUGGGGAACUACUCCUUUGAUGGGUGUCGCAAUGGCCUUAUUUGCGGUAUUUCUAUCUAUUAUUUUGGAGAUUUAUAAUUCUUCCAUUUUAUUGGAUGGAAUUUCGAUGAAUUAGAUCUAUAAGAAUCGCAAAGUCCUUACUUUGGAGUCCAAAAUGAAUCAUUUAGAGCUCCGAUUUAUAGUACAUUCUAUUUUGUUUUGGUAGUUCGAUCGUGGAAUUUCUUUGUUUCUGCACUUUCGGAGUAUGAGUGUGUGACUUGUUAUAAUUGAUCCUAUUGAUAGUACAGAGAAUGAGUCUGUCAUCUUGAUAGAGAUGAUUCUACUUCGUCAGAUAUUUAUUCUAAUAUUUGGAACACGAAAUAGAUUAAGAAAUAUUUGAACUAUGAUUCAUACUUAAUAUUCAGACCCCGUGUCCGGGCUCCAAAAAAUUUUCAAACAAAGAAUUCGAAUUUCUAAAUCGAAAGAUUCUUUUCUUUCAACCCCUAAUUUAUAUUUUGACCAAAAGCAAAACCUUUCUUUGAAUUUUUAGUCAUUCUAUUUAUUCAGGGAAUAAGUGAUGAUCCGAGGAUUCUUACUCAGAGAAUCCUUGAUUUGAUUUAGGUUAGGUUUUUUUUAUUGAAUCAUCGUGGUUCUAGUAUGAAUCUGAGGUUUUAAUCGAUUCAUAGGGUCUUAACAAGAGAAUUCCUAUCAAUAAUAAAGAAAACAAAGAAUAAAAGACAUAUUCCACAAAAACAAAUUCUAGAAAGAAAUAGGGAAAAAGAGAAUUCAAGAGGCCCAUAAGUAUCAAAAUAAAGAUAAAGACGACUGCGCCAACUUGAUAUUUUGGUAUUAUCGCCACAAAGAAGAGCUUUCGGAUUUUCCAGAGAAGAUGGGAUCAGAACUUAAUAACUUUAAAACUUUCUAUUCCAUAUCCGUUACAACUAGUAUUUGGGAGG